UAAAUAUUCCUCUAACUUUAGCGUUCCAAUUCUUACACAGAUUCAAGCAGUAAACUGUGGGUAACCAUGAGAGAAUAUUACUGCUAUAAAUUCCAUGCAAGACCAAGCAUAUUCAACCCAAUAUUGCAUGGUGGUAGACUUUUUCAGCAGUUUGCCGUUGAUACAUACAUCAAGAUUGAGAGCUCCAGAUUGGACUUCAUAUGGCAUUAUCAGAAAGAAAUAAGGGCAGAUCUAUACAAAGGCCUCCUGGAUAGCAUUCAAGAAGGAGAACAAAAGGGGGAUAAAGUAGGAAAAUGAACGGUGCUAGCAUCAUCAUUUAUUGGAGGGCCAAGAGAUAAAUUGUGACGAUAUCUAGAUGCUAUGGCUUUAGUACGCAAAUAUGGAAAGCCAGACAUAUUCCUAACAAUGACAUGCAACCCAAACUGGGAAGAGAUCACCCGAGAACUAGAGUUUUCACAAACACCUCAAGAUCGCCUAGAUCUCGUGGUUAGGGUUUUCAGGGCAAAACUAGAAGAAAUGAAGAAUCAAUUGUUUAAAAAGCACAUUCUUGGAAAGGUAAAGGCAUAUACCUAUGUUGUAGAGUUCCAAAAGAGAGGCCUACCUCAUGCACACUUCUUGCUGAUAAUGACCGGAAAAUACAAGUAUACAUGUCCAGAGCAAUAUGACAGAAUAAUCUAUGCCGAGCCGCCAGACAAGCACGAGUAUCCAGAUCUAUAUAAAAUGGUCAUCAAACAUAAGAUGCAUGGUCCUUGCGGCAUAUUAAAUAGAAAUUGCCCUUGCACAAAGAAUUGAGCAUCUUGCAAAAACAAUUAUCCAAGACCAUUUAAUGAAACUACAAUUCAAGGCAAGGACUCCUACCCAUUGUAUAGAAGAUGAAAUGACGGUCGCACCGAAACAGUCCAGAACUGUAAACUAGAUAAUAGAUGGGUUGUUCCUUACAACCCAUACCUAUUGCGCUUUUUCAACUGCCACAUGAAUGUUGAGGUAUGCUCAAGCAUUAAAGCCGUCAAGUAUCUGUUCAAAUACAUCUACAAGGGACAUGACCGGGCCUCUGUAUCUGUAACUGGAGCAGAUGCUGAAGGAGAAAUUGAUGAAAUUAGACAGUACAGAAACGCACGGUGGGUUACACCUCCAGAAUUAAGCAUGCAAGUGCUGAGAGCCGAUAUAUAUCUUUGACUCUAUUGGAAGUGUUUGAAGUGAGCAAUACAUCAUUUUAUAGAAAUCCAAUCCAUCCGAUCACAUUAAAAUUCAUGAGACAAGUCUCUCUGUCCCCGUUAAGUCAUAUAUGAAGGGUCAAAACAAACAGGUAUAAAAAACAUUGACUAGUACAUAAACCGUAUGUAUAAUUGGUGGUAGGUUUGCCGGUAUGUAAAAGUAAUAUUGUUUAUGCGGAUCUAUCUAUUUAUCCUAUAGUAAUCACAGAUGCUAUAGAAAAUCCCACGUUAACGAGAAAGAGAAAAUAUCUAGCCAUUGAUCCAUCGUGGCCCCCUUUUUUUAGCCGUUCAGAUUUAAAAAAGUACAAUUACUUAUUAGUUACUUGCAUUUGGUUAACUUUGCUAGGUUGUUCUAAGGAUAAUAGGUGCAAAUGGACGGUGGGGCCACUGGUGGACGUGCGUUCCUUGCCAGGGCAUGCCUACAUGAGAACUAAGGAAGACCGGCUGUGUGGACGUGGAGGAUGUGAUAUUACACGAUGCUGGAACAUGGACCGUUGCCAUGUUAAUCCUCUUGUACAAAUUAAAAUUCAUUACAAUUUUUAGGAAAAAUAUGUAUGAAUGUAUGAUCCGUUAGAGGAAAAGUGAAUAGGACGGACCAAAAUGUUGGAUCCUUUGUUGGAAAAAUGGUUUGAAUUUUGGCAAUGUAAGUAUUUCCUUGAUUUUGAGAGAGAGCCAAAUAGGAUUACAUUAUUUGUUAAUGUUCGUCUCAUAUUGAUUUUCAACCUUAAAAAAUGAUGCACUAUUUCAACUACAAUCACAUUAAACGAAACAUAAAAUUCGAUCCAUCUUGGCCUCUCGAGCUAUGUGAGUAGGAGAACAGCAUAGCAAAGAUAAACGAUCUAAUUAAUCUUCCUAGGAAGAGCUUUGAACUCUUGGAAACAACAAAAUAAAAUCAUUCAAUUCGAUUGGCAAAGUGACAAUACAUCAUCGGCACAAUGAUCAGAAAUAGCGAUUCUUGGUGAGGUACAAAUGUAUGAUCCAUUGUCGGGAAAGUAAAUAGGACGGACUAAACUUUUUGUCACAUAUUGAUUUUCAGCCACUAAAAAAAGCAAUGAGGUAAGAUAGUCAUUUGUUUCUAAAUACACAGUACAACAUAGUUAUUGUUUCUAGUCCGUUGCGGUGCGGUGGGAUAAGAAUAAAUAAUCACAUGACAAGACAUGGCAUGGGAGGCUAUGACGCAUCAUCAUGACUAGGGAAAACCAAAAGCACCAAGGAUGAUGAACAGAUUCUUGCCGAUGUCCCAUCACAGAGCAAAUAAAGCAGGAUAAAGGGGAUUGAUCUCGAACUNNNNNNNNNNNNNNNNNNNNNNNNNNNNNNNNNNNNNNNNNNNNNNNNNNNNNNNNNNNNNNNNNNNNNNNNNNNNNNNNNNNNNNNNNNNNNNNNNNNNNNNNNNNNNNNNNNNNNNNNNNNNNNNNNNNNNNNNNNNNNNNNNNNNNNNNNNNNNNNNNNNNNNNNNNNNNNNNNNNNNNNNNNNNNNNNNNNNNNNNNNNNNNNNNNNNNNNNNNNNNNNNNNNNNNNNNNNNNNNNNNNNNNNUGACGUGGUGGCGGCUCCACUUCUUCUGGUUCUCGCCCCUCAGGGGGUGGACCCAGGACGUGGUCCUUGACCUCAUUCAGGAUCCCCCAUCAAUGCCUCGUUCCGGGGUAGACAGGGCAUGCGAAGGUGUUGUCAGCGCGGCGAAAGACGUGUAGAGCAUCGCCUCGGGGGAAGGGCGUGUGGUAGCCGCGACGCCGGUUGUCAGAUGAGUCCGUCAGUUUGGGAGUCAGAGUUGAACCCAUCAGCUAGAAGGGUCACAAUCAGGGUCAACAUCUGAUGCGGUGACGAGGGCGUGAGGGUGGAGGAAGCCGCCCCCACCGUCGGAGGAGCCAUGGAACGCACCGCGGAGCCCACAAUAGCUCCGCAGCGACCAUCCACGAGUGACAGCAGGUUGAGGUUGGCGGCGUUGGAGAGCGAUCCCGACAACGAGCGCAAUGGCCACCUGAGGUCGCUGGCGUCAGAGUGGGAUACCGACGAGGAAGUGCCGCCGUAGCGGGACGACCCCACCGCGUGGACGUAGCGCCAUAGCGCUGCCGUGAAGUUGCGGGCAGUGGCGUGGCAGUAGCACAGCGACAACCCGCCACAGGAGCGCGACGACGAUGAGGAGGACCUUUAGUCCUGAAUGAUUAGUUUCGGUUGAUUUUUCGAGAGAUAGGAGGCUUACCAAGCAGAACUAAUGCUCAUAUUUUCCAAACUAAUGCUCAUAUUUCCACUAGUGAGUGCAAGGUUCCCUCCACGCAUAAGACGAUUUAUCCACCGUGGUUCCUAACCACGAGUAGAAAUGCACACAUUUACUAGGGGCGGUUCCUUAAGAGAAGUGUAUUUUCUAGGGGCAGUUCCUUAAGAUAAGUACCGAUAGAAAUCUGGUAGUGUUCAGGUACAAUGCGCGAAAGCAACUGCUAGUGACUGUAGAUAACGAUAUCCAUCGAUAGAAAUAAAGGCUAGUAUCACAUCUAAAAACUAGCUUUGAUAUUCAGCUCAGAUCCGUGCCUCUAACUUUUCGUGCUCAUUAUAUAAAUCAUAAAUUUCCUAAAAAAUUAACAGAAUCAUACAUAAAAAUCCAGAAUGUUUAUCAAAAGGUAAGAUUCAAAUCAGUGGUAGAUGUUCAGGAUUAACAACUUUCUUACUCCACAUAUUUUUGUUAGGUGAGGAGGCAUUGCAAGUUUGCAACUGUUGAAUGAAAUCCGUACUGCGAUGGAACUAGGAGGUAGUUGGUUUGAAGUAUAUACCAUUUAGAUAUCCAAUAAUCCUUCCUUUUAUUUCAAUAAAAAUAUUGGUUCCACGAUCAUCUAGGAGUAUGGUCUUGUACUCUCUUCUUGUUCGAGCUUUAUGUGAAUCCAACCCUAUGGAGCCACACCCCCAUCAAUGCCACGUGUCCCAAAUUGCUAAUCUCAACCAUCCCUUUCAUUUCUCACCCACUAACUAUACGGGAGUAAUGAGAAGUUAAAGGGACGAUUGAGAUAAGACAUGUGGCAUCCAUCAAGAUAGGGAUCCUACAUGGAACUGAAUUCAAUGCUUGAUAUCGAACCUGUCCUGAAGAUGAAAAGUUUCUCUAUAAAUUUAGACGUCCUAAACUUCAAUUCUUGUGCACACAGAAUAUACUCGCAGUCGUAGGCUCGUAGCUUAUAGACAAAUGACAUUGCAAGCAAUGGCGUUGCCCUACUUGCAAGAACUAGUCAUCUCCACACUUCUCGUUGUAUCAUUGUGCAUGUACAUUAAGUUCUGGAGGCUGAGAAACCCGUUGUACCCCAUGGACUGGCCGGUUGUGGGCAUGCUCCCUUCCAUCGUUGCCAAUCUCCACAACUUCCACGACGUACUCACUGUCUUCCUUGCCACCAACGGGUGUAACUUCAAGGCGCGAGGGCCGGUAGCAAGUGGCAUGCGGUUCUUCGUCACCGCUGAACCGGCAAACGUCCGGCACAUCUUCACCUCCAACCAUGCAAACUACCCCAAGGGCGAGGAUUUUGCUGAAAUCUUCGACAUCUUUAGCGGCACCCUCUUCACCAUUGAUGGUGAGGCCGGCCGCCAGCAGAGAGCCAUGUUCCAGAACAUCUUCAGCAAUCCACGGUUACUUGCCUUGAUGGCAAGUUGCUGCCGUGACAAGGUGGUGAACGAACUCCUCCCGUUCUUGACCCGCAUGGGGAGCACCAGGACAACGUUCGACAUGCAGGAUUUGAUCACAAGGUUGGUGUUCGACCUUACUGCCACGCCGAUCUUCGGUGUCGACCCGGGUUGCCUGUCCAUCAGCAUGCCGUCUAUCCAUGUUGCAACCGCCAUGGACACGUUCAUGGAGGUCGGCUUAUUCCGGCACACCAUGCCGGCUUGUUUCUGGAAGGUGAUGAGACGGCUAAACAUCGGUCCAGAGAGGAAGCUGGCCAUGGCGCAAACAGUGAUGCAUGCUUUCAUCAGGGAGAUGACUGAGAAGCCGAAAGCCAGGUGCGCCGAUCUCCUUGAUGAUGUGUUGGCCAUGGACAUUAUUUCUGCUAACCCAUCAGUGGGCAGAGACGAUGUCCUACAACGUAAUGUACUCAUCGGUUACAUGAUCGCCGGGCGGGACACGGUUGGUACCACGCUACCGUGGGUAUUCUACAACCUCGCCAGGAACCCCCGUGUGGUCUCUUGCAUCCGCAAGGAACUGGCACCCAUCGCAUCACUCAAGACCACUGCUCUCGCCUCCAAUAGCAUCAGCAGUAUGGUCGUCUUUGAUCCAAAGGAGACUGAACACCUAGUUUACCUUCAGGCAGCCUUAUUGGAGUCGCUCAGGUUGUACCCACCAGGCCCGAUCGAGCGCAAGGUGGUGCUAGCCGACGAUGUGCUCCCAAGUGGUCACCAGUUGUGCUCCGGUGAAACCAUCCUGAUCUCCAUCUAUGCCAUGGGUAGAAUGGAAUCCCUGUGGGGCAAGGAUUGCCAUGUGUACCGUCCGGAGAGGUGGCUGUCCGAGGACGGUGCUAAACUGCGUUACGUUCCGUCCAAUAAAUUCAUGGCGUUUAACACAGGGCCGAGGAUGUGCCUUGGCAAGGACAUAGCAAUUGCGCAGAUGAAGACCAUCGUUGCCGCGGUGGUGUGGAACUUUGAUAUGGAGGUGUUGGAAGGGCAGAGCAUCGAGCCAAAGCUGUCGUGCAUUCUUCAAUUGAAGAACGGGCUCAUGAUGAUGGUUAAGCAGAGAGAGUAAUCAAUGUGACAUGGAAUGAGCUAGGUGCAAUGCAACUACAGAUCGACUCAGUCCUGGCAUAUAUGGUUUGAACAAAAUAGUUAAAUCCAAACUUAUAAUGAAGUAAAUGGAAGCGUAACAUGUAUUUUCGUCAUUAAAUAAAGUCUACGGACGCCGUCGUCUGGCCAUCUGAAAGCUGGGAUCAUACCCAACUACAGACUCUUUGAUUUCAGUACUGAUAGUUUGUACUACUCCCUCUUUCUAAAUAAGUGAUGUUUUCAGAUUAUCUUAAGCUUAUUUGAAACUUUGAUGGCAUAUUAAUUGUUUUUCUAUGUGUAAAAGGUAUACGAGUAUAUUUAUGUUUAAUAGUAACUUCAUCAAAAGCAUCCGUUCACUUUAUGAAUAUUUUGUGACAAAAACUAGCCAUCACAGUUAUGUUUUUGAGGUAAUUUCAAUAUCAAAAACUUCAUUUAUGAGACCGGAGGAACUAACAUACAAAGACAAUGAAUGUAAAUACAAUAUGCCCUCCGGUGUCCUGGACUUCAUAAGUUGUAUCUGCAAUACUCAAGAGUGAAACGAAAGAGGGCGAUGUCAAUUUGAGUGUAUCUAAAGAGACUUAAAACAUUCAAAUGAUGAAUAUAAAUUGUAUCAAAUCAUAGUCCCUAUUAUACUUAUAUAAUUAGUACAAUUUAUUUAAGUUGGAACAUACUUUUUUUUUACCGUGUCUUGAUCCAAGUGCGCAUGUGGGUUUUGCAUGUUUUUCCUUGGUAGGAGGCACCUGACUAAUGCGGUGUCUGGAACCUUGGUUACUCCUUUUUAUUGAUUUCCUUCCUUAAGCUACCUGAGCACCCUAGAAUAGUGAUGGGCUGCCAAGGUAUUGGAUCAAAUGAAUUCAGACACCUCUAUGUAUUUAAGGUAUUGGUGUGAGUAGCGUGUAACGACUGAUUCUGUGCUGAGUCGUACCAACCAUAUCGAGGCUUUGUGCACGCUAGCUCAUUCAGGGUGAAAGUCUGCCCCGUCCGUACAUGAUAAGCUCGAGAGUCGAGACAUUGAUUCGGCAGCUGCCGUACGUGUAUGUCUUUGUCCUUCCAUUUGCUGUACGUGUACGUGCUCGUUCCGUUGGUGCUGUGGACGGAGAGCGGCUACUUAGGCAUGGACUUCUGCCGAAUCCGCAUGAUGGACAACGUCAACCAGGCCCUCGACGCCGCCUUGCCCCCGCCUUGCCCCGCGAUGAUUAGGUAGAUCGGAGGAUGUUUUUCUCGUGUUUUACCGUUGCAUUUGGUAGAUCGGAGGAUGUUUUUCUCGUGUUUUACCGUUGCAUUUGGUAGAUCGGAGGAUGUUUAGGUGACUUAGGGUUAGGUAGAUGAUUUCAAUUUUGAAUGAAAUGCAAUGGUGUUUUGUGUUAGAUGAUACGUAGUUCAGACGCAAUUGAGUCGCUGCCCGCGAUAUUGACAUGUAGAACUUGUCGAUUUAGGUAUAUAUUCAUUGAAUUGUGUAGUUGAUAUGACAUGUAUAUUUUUUGUUUGCAAUUUGUCCAAUAUGUGUAAUGUGUCUAGUUGAUAUGUCGAAUAUGUGCAAUGAGUAGUGUAUAUGACAUGGUGAAAUGUUUGUAUUUUGUAGAUGGAUCGUUUAGUUCGAUUUUUUGAUGGUGGUGUUGUGAAACAAAAUGGGGAGUUAGAGAAUAUGAAUGAAUCAAUUGAAUUCUUCGAGGGUCCUCCAAGUUUUAGUGAUUUAGUUGACCGUGUAAUGAGGAAGUAUGGAUGUAGAGUGGAUGAGAUCAGUUUGAGAGGUCGUUUUGAUUGUGGGAAAGCUAGAGCUCAUUAUGUUCUCAUGAAGUUAGCAUCCGAUGCGAAUUGGAAGCACUAUAAGGAUGUAGUUCACGAAGCUAAUGUUGCAUGUUUGGAGGUUAUAGUCGAAAUUGUUCGUAUGCCUGACCCAAAUGUUGUCAUGAGGGAGGAAGUGGCAGUAGUGAACCAUAAUGGUACCUAGGAGUCAGAAAUGUUGCAUCACGUGUUAGGUGAAACAGAACGUGAUUUUGACUUGGCUAUUGCCAAUGAUGAUUUUCCCAAUAACGUUUUUGAGAGGGAUGAAGCAAAUAUAGAUGUCGAUAAUAUCUCUAUGGGUUCUGAAGAUUGUGAAUUCGAGGAAGAUGGGGUAGUAGAUGUCGAUAAUAUCUCUAUGGUGAGAGUCCAGUGAUUAAGAAGGGGAUGAAGUUCAAUAGUCUUGAGGAAUUGAAGUUUUUCUUGGCUGACUACGCAGUGAGGUUACAUAGACCUUUUAGCAUAGUUCACUCUAACAAGAACUUAAGAUACAAUGUGAUGUGCAAGCAAGGAUGCCAUUGGCGUGUAUGGUCUCGGCUAAUAUCAAGCACCGGAUAAUGGAGAAUUUCAAAUGUUGUGUAACCGCAUACUUGUCGGUCGUCACAGCCAAAAUGAGAGCAUGUACAGUGCACAGCAAAGUACCUUGGGCGGCGUAUCCUAGGCAUUAUCCGUAAAGACAGCGAGACAUCGGUGCCAUCCCUCGUGAAGUCCAUCUUCGCCUUUAGUGGGUACCGUGUGAAGUAUUCGAAGGCUUGGCGGGCGAAGCAACACGCCGUUGCCCUGCUUUGGGGCGACUGGAAGGAGUCGUACGGCAUGGUUCCUAGGGUACUCUCAGCUAUAACCUACUACAAUCCCGGGGUUAAAUGGUGCAUCGACUCAUGUGGCAUGAUGCAUCCUGACAAUGGAGUUUUGAAGCAUAUACUGCAAAGGGUAUUUUGGUGCUUCCCUCAAUGUAGUGAGGCAUUUCAACAUUGCCGUCCUGUGAUACUUGUGGAUGGUACAUUCUUGACUGGCAAGUAUAAUGGUACAUUAAUGAUGGCAGUUGGUGUAGAUCCAAAAUAGUAGCUUGUGCCUCUUGCUUUUUCCUUGGCCGAGAGUGAGAAUAAUGAGAGUUGGUCAUGGUUUAUGAAACUUGUUCGGCGACAUGUUCUUGGACCUUUACGGAUAGUGUGUAUGAUAUCAGAUAGGCAUCAUGGGCUCCUAAAUUGUACGAAGGACCACAUGGAUGGUUUUCCACCGCUUGUGCAUAGGUGGUGCACGAGGCACUUUGCUGCCAACAUGUCGCGUCGGCAGAAGAGCAACCGUGUGAUUGGAAAAUUGAAGAUAUUAUGCAAGGUUCAUACGGAGAGAGAAUUUAGUGAGAAGUUAGAAGAUCUAGUGAAGGACUUGAACGAUGACGCAAAAGAAUGGUUGAAGGGUGAAAUGGAGGACAAGGAUAAAUGGGCGUAGGCUUUCGAUGAGGGAGGGAUGCGUUGGGGUAUUAUGACCACGAACUACUCGGAAUCACUCAACGCAGUUUUCAAAGGCAUCCGAAGUAGGCCCGUCUCUGGAAUUAUUGAAUACUCAUUCGAAAAAUGCAACGCCUACUUUGUGGACCGAUAGCAAAAGGCACGUGCAAUGUUGGAUGAAGGCUAUAGAAUUGGGAAAGUUGCAGAUGAUUAUUUAUUAGAGGCUGAGCUUAGAUCCGUGCACCACUUAGUAGAACCGUACGGGCCAGAAAGGAUGGUGUAUUCUAUAAGAAGUUACGGUACGACUAACAUUGGGGGUGAGAGUCAUGGAGGCCGACACUACAGAGUGGAUCUGAAUGAAGUUUCGUGCACCUGCAAUGUUCCACAAUUGUUGCACCUUCCAUGUUCACACUUCAUUACAGCUUGCAAGGCAAGAGGUCUUAACUAUGAAAGCCCCUUGUACAUGUCACCGUUGUACUCUAGGGAGCACACCGUACAAAUAUGGGAAUCAAGCUUUCAACCUUACCUUGAUCCGUCACAAUGGCCGGCAUAUGAAGGGGUAGGGUACGUGCCUAACCCCAAUUUGAUGAGAAAUAAAGUAGGAAGGAGGCAGAAGAAGCAUUUCACAGGCGACAUGGACGUGUCGGAAGGGAGGUUUUCUGCAGAUUAUGGCACUGGUGAUUUUGAUGUGGACAAGUCGGAAAAUCGUUGCUCGAAGUGCCCCAAGAUCAUUAGGAAUUACACGUGCCGCAAUAGAAAAUCUAAAGGCACGAAAUCUAGGGGGAACAGUAAUAGGCCGCGUUCUUCGAACAAUAGGGUAUGCGCGUUGCUCGUAUUUUGCAUGGUUAUCAUUUUAUCUUUUUUUAUAGUAGUAAAUUAUGAUAGUUACCGUACUUAUCAUAUAAUAAAGCUUUUUACUAAUGAUCUUGUUUGUUGUUUCUUUAGGAUGGCGGCCCUGGCGUACCCUCUUCUUGAGUCGGCUUACGGCUUGCAGCACCGUGCCCACCACCUCGCGGACCUAAAUGAGGUACUACAUCAGUUAUUAACAAUGGUUGGUAAUUUAUGCUAAUGAAUGCAUACCUUAGGAUGAUAAUUGCAAGAUUUUUGUAUGAAAUGUUCUUACAAAUUGAGGAUGUGCCUGUCGUUACUAUUUGCUUGUGUACAAUGUAAACAAUUUCAUACUGGAAAUGUCAUUUAUAUCAUAUUUGUGUUACUUACCACUUUAGUAGCCCUUUAUUCUCAAAUGCAUUGACUUCUCAUUUUUGUAAUAAUCUUAUAAUGUUUUGCAGGAUUUGAAACCACUCGGGGCUAAAGUGCACUCACCACUUAGGUGGGAUGAGCGGUACGCGGAGUACUUGCAGAGAGCUGGUUUUUUGGAUCUCGCUGUUCAGGUUGUCGCGGGUCUCCCUCCAAUGGACGGACCGCUGUUGACCUCUAUGGUCGACAGGUGGCGUCCAGAGACUCACACGUUCCACCUCCCGUUCGGAGAGAUGACCAUCACAAUGCAGGAUGUCGCUAUGAUACUCGGUCUUCCACUGGAUGGGCAGCUAGUGACGGGAAUUAUACAGAAUGAGAAUUGGCAUGAUAUGGUUGAAAUGCAUAUUGGGAUUAGGCCACCAGAGCCAGAGGACGGAGACAACUCCAAGAAGACCUCCGGUGUCAGCUCGGCAUGGUUGAGGGAGCACUUCAACGUUUGUCCUCCGGGAGCAAAUGACGGGGUUCUGCAGUGAUAUGCUUGAGUUUGGCUAUGGCACUUUGUCAGCACAUUCCUCCUUCCAGAUGCAGCUGGGAAUACAGUGUCUUGGAUGGUUCUCCCCAUUUUGGGUCAGCAUUGGGACAACAUAGCCCUUUAUAGUUGGGGCUCAGCGGUUCUUGUCUGGCUGUACAGGCAGCUAUGUGAGGCUUACAGGCGCACCGCGAGGGAUUCCAAUGUUGGAGGGUGCACCUAUAUGCUGCAGAUUUGGAUUUGGGAGCGAAUGCCUGUGGGUUGACCUUCCCGUCUUCGUGUCGAUGUAAGUCACAAUGGCUAAUUCCCUUUUCUGCUUUAAUGUUCGGAAAACUGUUGUAUCAUGUGACCAAUUGGACUUGCAAUUUCAGCCAUGGCAUCGAGACGAUGCUCAUCCCACAUUCUACCAUGUGUGGAAGCAUGUGCGGCCCGUUCGUGGUAAUGCUGAUAGGCGCUACAGGGCCUACACAAACGAGUUUGAUGUUGUCACGCAGUACCAGGUAAUUUGCUCACCAGAGUUUGUUAAGCUCACUUCCGUAUAAUGAUAGAUGAAAUAAGUAUUGUGUAAAAAUUUUUGAGGGUUGAAUGGAAACCGUACGACCGUGAGCAGCUAAGCCACAUCAUAUUUUCACCGAUGUGCUACAGAGACAGAGAGCUGUGGAGGUGCACGACGCCAAUGAUAUUGUACUACGUCGUAGAGUUUCAUAUGCUGCAUAGGGUGAUGCGGCAGUUUGGGAGGAUGCAACCGUGCCCUCCUUUGGAAUUAUCGACUUCGCAGCAGCUGCACAAGUAUGCAGGAAUAAAUAACUAUUGGAGGUUAUUCGAUACACGAACUGAACAUGUUAUACUAAUACUUCACUAAUCUCUGAUGCAGGAUCGACCGCAGAAAGAGGUAUAAGGAGAAUGAUUGGAGGGUGAAGUAUGGUCAGUACCUCGUCAUGUGGGAGAAUAAGCAAGGAUGCGAUCCUGAAGGUGGACUGGCGACCAGGACCAAACAAUGAGUACAUACGAUGGUAUUGUACAUCGACGAGAACUAAAGUGAAACCAUUUUGGAGUAAUGUGCCCAUUGAGGAUGCACCGUUUGACUCAGACGCCGACAUAGCUGAUGCGUAUGACACGGUGACACGCUAUGGGACACAGCCUGAGCGUGCACCUCUCCACGACUACAUGGUAAGAUUUCGGUUUGUAAUCAUAGUAUCGUAACAUUGAUCACUCAUGGAAUGAAAACUAUGCGUACAGGGACAGCAGCUUGCAAGGCUCUCAAACAAGGCGGGUGUGGUUAUGGAGCACGCCGUCGGAUCCGGUGAUGGUCUGCUUCGUCAGUUUGCAGAGGUAGAAGCCCAACCUAAUUUUCACUUAUACUCGUACUACCUUUGUAACCCUAUCAAUAUCAUAGUCGUGAAUAUAUGCUGCUUACAUGUUGCAGAGGAUUCGGAAAAGCUGCAGGCGAAUGGCCAUGAGGAUGAACUGCAUGUCGUCCUCAGAUGUGCACCACGGGGGCAAUGGCCAGGGUACUUCUUCGGGAUCACGUCGGACUCCAUUGGCGACUCCCCCCAAGGCUGCAACACCGUCCACUGCUGCAGGUCCUAGCAGGAGAUCCGAGGCAAGAAACCCGCAUCCCCUCAGGCAAGCGAGGACUCUGAAGGUGAGCAGUCUGAGGAUGACGACCCUACAUAUGGUGAGGAACUGGAGAUUUCCGGCAUGAUCGAUGCUCCACCUGUGACUCAGACACAGGGUGAGUCCAGCCAGGUACAUUCACAAGUUUCCCCAAAUUCAAUUCUAGAUUGUUAAUGUUCACUCCCGAAGUGUCAUACAAAUUUUAUGCUUUGUGCCCAAUUAUUCCAUAGGAACCUGCACCUCCUACCCGGAUGCCACGCCGGCGGCGUCUUUCCCGGGACCAUACCGACGUUGGCAGCGCCAAUGUGCUGCCCACGCAUCCAAGGAGGGAGCGUCGCCCAAGAGAUCCUUUUAGCCCUCCGGUUGAGCGGCGGUCAUGACACUGAACGUUACAUAUCUCAAGUGUGAUGCACUAGGUGUGCAAUUUAUGUUAUAUGUGUGUGCAAGACUAUUGGAACUGUCACGUGUGUAAAAGACUAAGUUGGUUGUUAGGUUUAUUUCUGUCACGUGUGUAAAAGACUAAGUUGGAUGUUAGGUUUAUUUCUGUCCGUAUAAUGUUAUAUGUUUGCUCCAUGACAUACUUGUGUUUCGUGUAUUUUUUCGUAAAUGUUCGCACUGGUAGGCUAUCGCGUACUAGACGAGAUACGGAAUAAUUUCGUGGUUCAAACUAGUUUAAGAAAAAUCAGAACAAAAAAAGCUAUUUAAGUUUCAUCAGCCGGAUUGCUGGGGCAGCUGAGUCGGCGGUAGUCUAGCAGCCCAGAAACCUACUGAAACUUUAAUGGAUUUGGCACGGGAGGGCACCCCUGCCGCCCCAGGCGGAGUGGCGCGGCAGCCCCCAUCCACCAAAACCUACUGAAAACUUUGUGCAAAUGGCGCGGCAGCGCACUCCUACCGCGCCACUCCGCUUGGCACGGCAAGCCCCCCCCCCCAAAAAAAAAACCUACUCAAACUUUGUUUCGCUUGGCGCGGCAGCGCACUCCUGCCGCGCUAGGCGGAGUGGCGCGGCAAGGCCCGCCCCCCCCGAACCUACUGAAACUUUGCUGCGUUUGGCGCGGCACCCCAACUUUGCCGCGCCACUCCGCCUGGGGCGGCAGCGGCAUUCCUGCCGUGCCACUUCCCUUGGCGCGGCAAGCCCCUCCACCCCCCGACACCUACUGAAACUUUGUUUCGGUUUGCGUGGCAGUGCACUACUGUCGCGUCACUCUGCGUGGUGCGGCAAGCCCCCACCCCACGAAACCCUACUGAAUCAUGAGGAUAGUAUUUUAUCAUGGUGUUGGAGUCCUAGUUUUCAUGGAUUCCUUUUUUUUACCGGGGUCGACCCUAAAGCCAUAAUGUCUCAAAACGCAGAGGGUAUAGAGAAACUUUUCUUUUUUCCUUUGUCUCGAACUUCGUGAAGAACUCCAUUCUAUAUCUCCAACAAAAAAGUAGGGUUGCGCCCCAGUUGUACACUCCCUUCGUUCGGAGAACCCUUAUUGAUUCUGAACUUUGUUCGCAAAGUAAGCAUCCUUUUAACGGGCCAGCCCUUUUUAAUGCGCCGCUUGACCCAGUUUUGAAAAUGAGCUUUGCUCUUCUGGGCGCCCCAACGUAUCCAGGCCAAAUCCCAACCGGCUUGGGUCGGAUAAAAAAUGCUCAAAUAUACCCAAAAAUGCUCGGAUAUACCCUACGCUCUAUCGGACCCUACCAGUAAUUAUAGAAAGAGUAUUGUCUUUUUUUAAAUAUUACAGUACUUCUUCACAAGUUUUUGUUCAAUCUUAAUUUUGAUCGAAGCUACUACUGUUUCUUUGACACUCUAGCGCUAACUACUAGCUCGGAGAGGAAACUUUGAUGCGUUUGGACAUAGUUCUCUCACAAAUGAAAAUUGUUUUUGACAACUAAUCGUAGUUCUCAGAAUAAACAUAAACAUAGUUUUCUCAUAAAUGAACAUAGUUUUCACAACUAAAGAGAAACAUGAUUCAGCAAAAUUAACACGUUCAUCUAGUCCAAGUCACCUUCAUAUAGUAACUCAUCAUCAUCAUCAUCCUCGGCAACAACAACUCCCUUCCCUUUCUUAUCGACAUUAACCUUACCAACAGGUAAAUCGGCAACAAGAGCCUUCAUCGUCUCCAUCUGUGCCUCUUCCGCUUUUUGUUGUAACUCUUCCAUUUCAAUCCUUCUCUUUCUUACCCUAACCUGCUGCAAAUAUUCUUCCCAUGAACCCUUAGGGUAUUUCGCAUUCGGAUCAACCACAUAACCUAAGCGAUCUCUUUCCUCCCUCAACCUUUGUUUCUCCAACUCCCUCUCCUCCUGCAACUUCCUCCUAUUUUCACUCUUCUCAUUUUCAGUUAGAGGUCGUGGAUACUUGGAUCUAUUCUGCCUCCAAUACUUAAUAAUAGUUUCCCUCGCAUAAAGUCCUUCAGGCUCCACUCCAGUCUCAUGCACCAUAUCUUGAUAUAUUUUCCCCCGAAGCAAGUCGUUGUCAGGGAUAGGCACAUCAUACUCCUUCCUAAUCUUUUCUUUAAGUUCUUGUUGUUUCCUUGACUUCCAUGGUUCCGAUGUAUUACCCAACUUUAAUAACAAAUCACAACGACCAGAAAAAUCUUCCCAAUCACAUGUCCUUCCCUCCUGCAACAACAAUUUCAUAUUCUUACAAAUUUGAAACAAGUUCCAACCUUAAUAACACACAAGAGACGAGUAGUUACUAACCCAGUAAUCGCCAUGUGCAUUUCCACAGAACGAACCAUAUCCAAGUUCAGAAGGCACCACACCUUGUGUUGCCAAUAUACCACACUUGCAUCUAUCACUAGGAGAGGACACACAUGGCCACGGUGCCUUUCCACUCUCGAACUCCAGCACUUGCUCCUCCGUUGGCCACAUUGCCAUUGGGCCGUAUAUAUACUCAUUGAAAUCACACAACGGCCACCCAUCCUGCAAAAAAAUGGUGACGUGAACUACUCAUACGUAAAGUAGCUAGAAAACGCUGCUCCAACUUCCAAGCAAUAACAUCAAGUAAAAGUAUGAACAAUAUACUGCAAAAUUAUAACUGCUAGCUACAUGACAUACUAAUAUUCUCAUAAUAAACUUACAUGAGUCUUUAGCGAGCAUCGAAAGAAUGGAGUAAACUUAGGUGGAUCCUCUAAGUUAGGACGCAUAAGCUUAGCAGGAACACCACACUUGCACAUGGGAGGAUCCCUCACACGCCUACAAGCAGCCUCCUGCUUCUCCUCCUCGGUCAUCCUAGGUGGGUUUGGUGGAGGAGGAACCCAACGCCUAAAGUGAUGGUAUGGUUUAAGCUCUGUGCUAUGAUAUGGGAAUAGGCGGAUCCUAGGAUCAUAUUUGUCGGGUCCAUCAAUCUACUGAAAGAAAUCACAAGGUGCGGCAGGCAUUGGAUCAAAAGUCCACUUGCAUACAUAGAAGGCUCUUCCGGCUGUCUUUGGAUGACUUGAUUGUUUCACCUCUGCUUGCACGCCACAUCUACAAAGAGGUACCGGAAGGGCAGGAGGUACGGGACCAGCACCAUUGGACUCGCCCACAUACGGACAUACCACCUACGCCGCUUGUAUUCACAACCAAACGACGUCAUCUCACCUAGACAUCAAGUGCUACAAAAUUAAUACACAAAUAAACUUUACACACGUAAUCCAAACGAGCUAUAUACAUCAUUUCGAUAAAAUGUAAACACUCCAUCUACAAAAUACAAACUCUGAAACAUAUCAACUAUAGCAACUAUAUUAAGGAACAAAAAUAUGAGACAAAUUAAUUGAACAUAUAAAAAAAUACAUGUCAUGUAAACCACACAAUUCGAUGAGUAUAUACCUAUAUCGAAAUAUUCAACAAGUUCUACACAUCAAUAUCGCGGGCAGAGACUCAAUUGCGUCUGAACUACGUAUCAUCUAACACAAAAUACCAUUGCAUUUCAUUCAAAAUUGAAAUCAUCAACCUAACCCUAAGUCACCUAAACAUCCUCCGAUCUACCAAAUGCAACGGUAAAACACGAGAAAAAGUAUGGGGAUACCUUCCACACGGAGCAGGGAUCGAUUUCCACCACUUACCCCCACCAAAAUCGCCGAAUUUUGGGUGGAUUUGGGGGUGGUGCGGCGGGGGGCGGCGCAACAAGCUAGGGGCGCUGGUCUGUCCGGAGGAGGAAGAAAGGAGGGAGGGAGGAGGAAGGGAGCCAGCGCGCUGCUGUAGCGUAGGCUCUGCCGCGCCAUGCGGGCUGGCGCGGCAAGUGCCCGCCCACGUCAGCGUGCACCUGGCGCGGCGAGUCACCGCGCGAGCGUGGUAGGGGCCCGUCGCGCCAGUGCAUGCGGCGCGGCAGAGGCUACCUGCCGCGCCAGGCGGUCUGGCGCGGCCAAAAGGGUUAUCUGCCGCAAAUAUAGUCCCGCGGAGGUUAUUUUUAAAAUAAAUAAAAAAAGGUUAAAAAUAAAAAAAAGAGAACAAAAAGAAUCAAGUCAGAUUACGGAGAGGUUCGAAUGACUUAAUUUAUUAAAGGACCACUUCACUGGACGGAUCUCCUAAUAUCCAACCUAAUUUUAAUUAUGAAAUAAUUGAAGCAUAUCGAUCUGUCAUGAACAACAAUUAUAUCAGGAUUGAAUUAGCAGUCACUGUUGAAAUUGCAAAUGACCAUCAACCAAACCUUCUUAUUAUAAGAUAACAGUAGUAAAACUGGCUUCUUUUUUCUUGUCUGUAAGACGCUCUACUCGUGUAUCAUCAUAAGAAAAAAAUCCUAAGAAUGGUAGUGAAGAUGAGCAGUAGUACCAGAGGUCGAUUUACCUAUUUGAUAGCCCUUUGCCACCUGUAGAGCUCUAGUAAACUGAUUGUUUCCUUCUGUGUUUCAUCCUGGGCAACAACAGGAAAAUUGUCAAAGGAUCAUAAAUAAAAACAAACACACAAUGCAUGUUGUUAAUAUUACUAUUGGAAAACUAAAAAAAUGUCAAGCAGUAGUAAUUUCAAGUGCCAACAGCAGGAAAAUUGUCAAAGGAUGAUAAAUAAAAACAAACACACAAUGCAUGUUGUUAAUAUUAAACUCUAAAUCUUUGGAUUUCAUCCCAUCAUCUUGACUUUCCAAUAUCACAACAUCAUUUGAAUUUUCUUCAGUGACAUGAUUUUGUACAGAAUUGAUACCAAUUUCUGCUGUGUUUGUUUUUCUCAUGUAGUGGAGUCACAAUCACAAGUCAUUGAUGCAAAUGAAAAGAGAAGGAAAAGAGAUAGAGAGCGUUAUGCCAAAAUUACAGAUGAAGAAAAGCAUGAUAAACUGAAAAAACAACAUGAAGCCUAUCAUAGAAGGAAAGGUAGAGAUGCAACACAGUACCAAAAAAAAUACACAAAAGAGAGACAGAAAUAUGCAAAUAUGCAGCUAGAACAAAAGAAAGCUAGAAUAGAACAAGCCAUAACUAACCGUGAAAUGAGGAGCAGCAAAACAACGAAAGGUUCAAUUGCAAUAGAGAAUCCUGCAUAUAUUGAAACAAAUAUGUUAGUUGAAGUCAAUACAUCUAGCCUUAAUGUUAAACACAGGAAACAUGUGACGCCAGGAGAAAGGCAAACAUUGCUAGCCCGUCAAAAUAAAAAAAUCAUAAAAAAACAAAAGGGGACAGUUUAUUCAUCAUCAGAAGAAGAUGAAACCAUGAGCGAAGAGGACAAUGACAUAGAAAUGCAAAAACAGGCAAAAAUCAUGAAUCUCGGUAAUAUUCUAAAUUCUAUACAAAACUUUCGCAUUUCAAUACAAUAUAUGCAAUACUUUAAAAUUUGAAUAGACUACAUACAUCCAUAUAUUAUACUAACAAUCUCAAUCAAACAGAAAUACCCUCUUCAGUAUGGACAACCAUAGAAGGCAUUGAUGCCCCAAAACAACUAACAAAUGAUAAAGAUAAGGGUAAGGUUAUCAACUCCAAAGUAUAAAUUCUCACAUGAUACAAAAGAAACAAAAAUAUGUAUUCACAAAAAUCUGUACAGAUAAUGAUGGAGUGAUAUUUGAACAAGACACGAACGAGGAUGAUUACAUGUUCUCAUGUCAAGGUAUGCUUCAAUACUUUAAAAAAAAUCCUUCCAUCAUUAUGUUAAUACUUUCCUAAAAAAUUUUAUAUAAAAAAAAUUCAACAAAAUUGGACACAGAUGUGGAUAUCGAAAUCAGAGAAGACGAAGAAACUACUACAAAGAUCUCAAAUCCAUAUGACAUUGUCUACAACAACGUACUAGACGACACAAACAUGCUGAAAAAUAAAAAAAUUUGCAUAUACUGUAAUGCAAAGAAAUUUGAGUAUGAAUCUGAGGGGUUAUGAUGCAGAAAACGACAUAUUAGAUUAGCCAAUCAAGAGACACCUCCUGAACUCAUGAGACUUUGGACAAGCAACGAUUCUGAUGCAAGACAUUUUUGGAACAAUAUAAGAUUUUUCAAUGGACACUUCUCAUUUACAUCUCUUUAUUGCCACCUAGACAGUGCGACCACUGACAUGAAAAAAGCUGGUAUUUACACCUUUCGAGCUCAUGGCCAGAUGUAUCACGAUAUACAAUCAUUUGGAAAUAGUUGCUCAGAUCCAAAGCAUCUAGAGUUGUACUUCUACGAUGAUGAUCCAAGCCUAGAGCAUCAGUAUCGAUGCUGCCGUGAAGAAAAGUACAAGCAAGACAAACAUGUAGUCACAAUUUUAACACAAAUUCUACGUGAAAACCCAUAAUCUAAACAGUUUAGAAGUUUGGGACAGAAUGAAAAACUUGAUGACUACAGGCUGAUCUUGAACCUUGACCAAAGAUUAGACCAAAAACCAUACAAUGCACCAAUAACUUUAGAGGUAGCUGUAGUGUGGAUCAAGGGAAAUGAAAGAAGAAAUACCUUUGACAAGAAUGUAAUACUACAUGGAAACAACAACGAAAUACAAGGCAUCAAAUCAUACUAUGGCUGCUAUGAUCCAUUAUCUUAUCCUCUAUUCUUUCCAAGAGCUGAACUCGGUUGGCAUUGAAAUAUCCCAAGGGCCAAUACAAUAUUGGAAGAAUUGAGAAAUGAUAAUGUUGAUCGCAACAAUAGUGACAACGACCCAGGUUAGAAUUUCAUAUACUUUUGUCUUCUAAAUUUAGUUUACUAAUAUGAAACAACUACAUAAAUAUUCCUCUAACUUUAGCGUUCCAAUUCUUACACAGAUUCAAGCAGUAAGCUGUGGGUAACCAUGAGAGAAUAUUACUGCUAUAAAUUCCAUGCAAGACCAAGCAUAUUCAACCCAAUAUUGCAUGGUGGUAGACUUUUUCAGCAGUUUGCCGUUGAUUCAUACAUCAAGAUUGAGAGCUCCAGAUUGGACUUCAUAUGGCAUCAUCAGAAAGAAAUAAGGGCAGAUCUAUACAAAGGCCUCCUGGAUAGCAUUCAAGAAGGAGAACAAAAGGGAGAUAAAGUAGGAAAACGAACGGUGCUAGCAUCAUCAUUUAUUGGAGGGCCAAGAGAUAAAUUGCGACGAUAUCUAGAUGCUAUGGCUUUAGUAAGCAAAUAUGGAAAGCCAGACAUAUUCCUAACAAUGACCUGCAACCCAAACUGGGAAGAGAUCACCCGAGAACUAGAGUUUGCACAAACUCCUCAAGAUCCCCCAGAUCUCGUGGUUAGGGUUUUCGGGGCAAAACUAGAAGAAAUGAAGAAUCAAUUGUUUAAAAAGCACAUUCUUGGAAAGGUAAAGGCAUAUACCUAUGUUGUAGAGUUCCAAAAGAGAGGCCUACCUCAUGCACACUUUUUGCUGAUAAUGACCGGAAAAUACAAGUAUACAUGUCCAGAGCAAUAUGACAGAAUAAUCUAUGCCGAGCUGCCAGACAAGCACGAGUAUCCAGAUCUAUAUAAAAUGGUCAUCAAACAUAUGAUGCAUGGUCCUUGCGGCAUAUUAAACAGAAAUUGCCCUGCACAAAGAAUCGAGCAUCUUGCAAACACAAUUAUCCAAGACCAUUUAAUGAAACUACAAUUCAAGGCAAGGACUCCUACCCAUGGUAUAGAAGAAGAAAUGACGGUCGCACUGAAACAGUCCGGAACUGUAAACUAGAUAACAGAUGGGUUGUUCCUUACAACCCAUACCUAUUGCACUUUUUCAACUGCCACAUAAAUGUUGAUGUAUGCUCAAGCAUUAGAGCCGUUAAGUAUCUGUUCAAAUACAUCUACAAGGGACAUGACCGGGCCUCUGUAUCUGUAACUGGAGCAGAUGAUGAAGGAGAAAUUGAUGAAAUUAGAUAGUACAGAAACGCACGGUGGGUUACACCUCCAGAAUUAAGCAUGCAAGUGCUGAGAGCCGAUAUAUAUCUUUGACUCUAUUGGAAGUGUUUGAAGUGAGCAAUACAUCAUUUUAUAUAAAUCCAAUCCAUUUGAUCACAUUAAAAUUCAUGAGACAAGUCUCUCUGUCCCCGUUAAGUCAUAUAUGAAGGGUCAAAACAAACUGGUAUAAAAAGCAUGUACAUAAACCGUAUGUAUAAUUGGUGGUAGGUUUGCCGGUAUGUAAAAGUUAUAUUGUUUAUGCGGAUCUAUCUAUUUAUACCUAUAGUAAUCACAGAUGCUCUAGAAAAUCCCACGUCAACGAGAAAGAGAAAAUAUCUAGCCAUUGAUCCAUCGUGGCCCCCUUUUUUUAGCCGUUCAGAUUUAAAAAAGUACAAUUAGUUAUUAGUUACUUGCAUUUGGUUAACUUUGCUAGGUUGUUCUAAGGAUAAUAGGUGCAAAUGGACAGUGGGGCCACUGGUGGACGUGCGUUCCUUGACAGAGCAUGCCUACACGAGAACUAAGGAAGACCGGCUGUGUGGACGUGGAGGAUGUGAUAUUACACGAUGCUGGAACAUGGACGGUUGCCACGUUAAUCCUCGGGUACAAAUUAGAAUUCAUUACAAUUUUUAGGAAAAAUAUGUACGGAUGUAUGAUCCGUUAGAGGAAAAGUGAAUAGGACGGACCAAAAUGUUGGAUCCUUUGUUGGAAAAAUGGUUUGAAUUUUGGCAAUGUGAGUAAGGAUUUCCUUUGUUUUGAGAGAGAGCCAAAUAGGAUUACAUUAUUUGUUAAUGUUCGUCUCAUAUUGAUUUUCAACCUUAAAAAAAUGAUGCACUAUUUCAACUACAAUCACAUUAAACAAAACAUAAAAUUCGAUCCAUCUUGGCCUCUCGAGCUAUGUGAGUAGGAGAACAGCAUAGCAAAGAUAAACGAUCUAAUUAAUCUUCCUAGGAAGAGAUUUGAACUCUUGGAAACAACAAAAUGAAAUCAUGCAAUUCGAUUGGCAAAGUGACAAUACAUCAUCGGUACAAUGAUCAAAAAUAGCGAUUCUUGGUGAGGUACAAAUGUAUGAUCCAUUGUUGGGAAAGCAAAUAGGACGGACUAAACUUUUCGUCACAUAUUGAUUUUCAGCCACUAAAAAAAGCGAUGAGGUAAGAUAGUCAUUUGUUUCUAAAUACACAGUACAACAUAGUCAUUGUUUCUAGUCCGUUGCGGUGCGGUGGGAUAAGAAUAAAUAAUCACAUGACAAGACAUGGCAUGGCAGGCUAUCAUGCAACAUCAUGACUAGGGAAAACCAAAAGCACCAAGGAAGAUGAACAGAUUCUUGCUGAUGUCCCAUCACAGAGCAAAUAAAGCAGGAUAAAAGGGGAUUGAUCUUCGAACUAGAAAAUAGGGGAUCGAUCUUUCCAUUGAUCUUACAAAUAAAAGAUAACAGCAUAGCAAAGAUGGCCAGGGUUCCAACAAAAUCUAAAUCUAAAAUUACUAAUUAACAGCAUAGCAAAGAUAACAGCUGGCCAGGGUUCCAACAAAAUCUAAAUCUAAAGUUACUAAUUAACAGCAUAGCAAAGAUAACAACAUUGAUCUUCCACUAGCGCGGCUUGCUCACUCCAUUCACCCCUCGUUCCCGGCCAUGACGUGGUGGCGGCUCCACUUCUUAUGGUUCUCGCCCCUCAGGGGGUGGACCCAGAACGUGGUCCUUGACCUCAUUAAGGAUCCCCCACCGAUGCCUCGUUCCGGGGUAGACAGGGCACGCGAAGGUGUUGUCAGCGCGGUGAAAGAUGCGUAGAGUAUCACCCCGGGGGAAGGGCGUGUGGUAGUCGCAGCGCCGGUCGUCUGAUGAGUCCGUCAGUUUGGGAGUCGGAGUCGAACCCAUCAGCUGGAAGGGUCACAAUCAAGGUCAACUCUUGAUGCGGUGACGAGGGCGUGAGGGUGGAGGAAGCCACCCCCACCGUCGGAGGAGAACGGGAACGCACCGGGGAGCCCACAAUAGCUCCGCAGCGACCAUCCACGAGCGAUAGCAGGUUGAGGUCGGCAGCGUUGGAGCGCGAUCACGACGACGAGCGCAAUGGCCACCCAAGGUCGCUGGCGUCAGAGUGGGAUACCGACGAGAAAGCGCCGCCGUAACGGGACGACCCCACUGCGUGGACGUAGCGCCAUAGCGCUGCCGUGAAGUUGCGGGCAGUGGCGCGGCAGUAGCACGGCGACAACCCGCCACAGGAGCACGACGACGAUGAGAGGGACCUUUAGUCCUGAAUGAUUAGUUUCGGUUGAUUUUUCGAGAGAUAUGAGGCUUACCAAGCAGAACUAAUGCUCAUAUUUCCACUAGUGAGUGCAAGGUUUCCUCGACGCAUAAGACGAUUUAUCCACCGUGGUUCCUAACCACAAGUAGAAAUGCACACAUUUACUAGGGGCGGUUCCUUAAGAGAAGUGUAUUUUCCAGGGGCAGUUCCUUAAGAUAAGUACCGAUAGAAAUCUGGCAGUGUUCAGGUACAGUGCGCGAAAGCAACUGCUAGUGACUGUAGAUAACGAUAUCCAUCGAUACAAAUAAAGGCUAGUAUCACAUCUAAAAACUAGCUUUGAUAUUCAGCUCAGAUCCGUGCCUCUAACUUUUCGUGCUCAUUAUAUAAAUCAUAAAUUUCCUAAAAAAUUAACAAAAUCGUACAUAAAAAUCCAGAAUGUUUAUCAAAAGGUAAGAUUCAAAUCAGUGGUAGAUGUUCAGGAUUAACAACUUUCUUACUCCACAUAUUUUUGUUAGGUGAGGAGGCAUUGCAAGUUUGCAACUGUUGAAUGAAAUCCGUACUUCGAUGGAACUAGGAGGUAGUUGGUUUGAAGUAUAUACCAUUUAGAUAUCUAAUAAUCCUUCCUUUUAUUUCAAUAAAAAUAUUGGUUCCACGAUCAUCUAGGAGUAUGGUCUUGUACUCUCUUCUUGUUCGAGCUUUAUGUGAAUCCAACCCUAUGGAGCCAUAUUCAAUGCUCGUUAAAGAUAGUAACUAUACGGGAGUAAUGAGAAGUUAAAGGGAUGAUUGAGAUAAGACAUGUGGCAUCCAUCAAGAUAGUGAUCCUCCAUGGAACUGAAUUCAAUGCUUGAUAUCGAACCUGUCCUGAAGAUGAAAAGUUUCUCUAUAAAUUUAGACGUCCUAAACUUCAAUUCUUGUGCACACAGAAUCUACUCGCAGUCGUAGGCUCGUAGCUUAUAGACAAAUGACAUUGCAAGCAAUGGCGUUGCCCUACUUGCAAGAACUAGUCAUCUCCACACUUCUCGUUGUAUCAUUGUGCAUGUACAUUAAGUUCUGGAGGCUGAGAAACCCGUUGUACCCCAUGGACUGGCCGGUUGUGGGCAUGCUCCCUUCCAUCGUUGCCAAUCUCCACAACUUCCACGACGUACUCACUGUCUUCCUUGCCACCAACGGGUGUAACUUCAAGGCGCGAGGGCCGGUAGCAAGUGGCAUGCGGUUCUUCGUCACCGCUGAACCGGCAAACGUCCGGCACAUCUUCACCUCCAACCAUGCAAACUACCCCAAGGGCGAGGAUUUUGCUGAAAUCUUCGACAUCAUUAGCGGCACCCUCUUCACCAUUGAUGGUGAGGCCGUCCGCCAGCAGAGAGCCAUGUUCCAGAACAUCUUCAGCAAUCCACGGUUACUUGCCUUGAUGGCAAGUUGCUGCCGUGACAAGGUGGUGAACGGACUCCUCCCGUUCUUGACCCGCAUGGGGAGCACCAGGACAACGUUCGACAUGCAGGAUUUGAUCACAAGGUUGGUGUUCGACCUUACUGCCACGCCGAUCUUCGGUGUCGACCCGGGUUGCCUGUCCAUCAGCAUGCCGUCUAUCCAUGUUGCAACCGCCAUGGACACGUUCAUGGAGGUCGGCUUAUUCCGGCACACCAUACCGGCUUGUUUCUGGAAGGUGAUGAGACGGCUAAACAUCGGUCCAGAGAGGAAGCUGGCCAUGGCGCAAACAGUGAUGCAUGCUUUCAUCAGGGAGAUGACUGAGAAGUCGAAAGCCAGGUGCACCGAUAUCCUUGAUGAUGUGUUGGCCAUGGACAUUAUUUCUGCUAACCCAUCAGUGGGCAGAGACGAUGUCCUACUACGUAAUGUACUCAUCGCUCACAUGAUCGCCGGGCGGGACACGGUUGGUACCACGCUACCGUGGGUAUUCUACAACCUCGCCAGGAACCCCCGUGUGGUCUCUUGCAUCCGCAAGGAACUGGCACCCAUCGCAUCACUCAAGGCCACUGCUCUCGCCUCCAAUAGCAUCAGCAGUAUGGUCGUCUUUGAUCCAAAGGAGACUGAACACCUAGUCUACCUUCAGGCAGCCUUAUUGGAGUCGCUCAGGUUGUACCCACCAGGCCCGAUCGAGCGCAAGGUGGUGCUAGCCGACGAUGUGCUCCCAAGUGGUCACCAGUUGUGCUCCGGUGAAACCAUCCUGAUCUCCAUCUAUGCCAUGGGUAGAAUGGAAUCCCUGUGGGGCAAGGAUUGCCAUGUGUACCGUCCGGAGAGGUGGCUGUCCGAGGACGGUGCUAAACUGCGUUACGUGCCGUCCAAUAAAUUCAUGGCGUUUAACACAGGGCCGAGGAUGUGCCUUGGCAAGGACAUAGCAAUUGCGCAGAUGAAGACCAUCGUUGCCGCGGUGGUGUGGAACUUUGAUAUGGAGGUGUUGGAAGGGCAGAGCAUCGAGCCAAAGCUGUCGUGCAUUCUUCAAUUGAAGAACGGGCUCAUGAUGAUGGUUAAGCAGAGAGAGUAAUCAAUGUGACAUGGAAUGAGCUAGGUGCAAUGCAACUACAGAUCGACUCAGUCCUGGCAUAUAUGGUUUGAACAAAAUAGUUAAAUCCAAACUUAUAAUGAAGUAAAUGGAAGCGUAACAUGUAUUUUCGUCAUUAAAUAAAGUCUACGGAUGCCGUCGUCUGGCCAUCUGAAAGCUGGGAUCAUACCCAACUACAGACUCUUUGAUUUCAGUACUGAUAGUUUGUACUACUCCCUCUUUCUAAAUAAGUGAUGUUUUCAGAUUAUCUUAAGCUUAUUUGAAACUUUGAUGGCAUAUUAAUUGUUUUUCUAUGUGUAAAAGGUAUACGAGUACAUUUAUGUUUAAUAGUAACUUCAUCAAAAGCAUCCGUUCACUUUAUGAAUAUUUUGUGACAAAAACUAGCCAUCACAGUUAUGUUUUUGAGGUAAUUUCAAUAUCAAAAACUUCAUUUAUGAGACCGGAGGAACUAACAUACAAAGACAAUGAAUGUAAAUACAAUAUGCCCUCCGGUGUCCUGGACUUCAUAAGUUGUAUCUGCAAUACUCAAGAGUGAAACGAAAGAGGGCGAUGUCAAUUUGAGUGUAUCAAAAGAGACUUAAAACAUUCAAAUGAUGAAGAUAAAUUGUAUCAAAUCAUAGUCCCUAUUAUACUUAUGUAAUUAGUACAAUUUAUUUAAGUUGGAACAUACUUUUUUUUACCGUGUCUUGAUCCAAGUGCGCAUGUGGGUUUUGCAUGUUUUUCCUGGUAGGAGGCACCUGACUAAUGCGGUGUCUGGAACCUUGGUUACUCCUUUUUAUUGAUUUCCUUCCUUAAGCUACCUGAGCACCCUAGAAUAGUGAUGGGCUGCCAAGGUAUUGGAUCAAAUGAAUUCAGACACCUCUAUGUAUUUAAGGUAUUGGUGUGAGUAGCGUGUAACGACUGAUUCUGUGCUGAGUCGUACCAACCAUAUCGAGGCUUUGUGCACGCUAGCUCAUUCAGGGUGAAAGUCUGCCCCGUCCGUACAUGAUAAGCUCGAGAGUCGAGACAUUGAUUCGGCAGCUGCCGUACGUGUAUGUUUUUGUCCUUCCAUUUGCUGUACGUGUACGUGCUCGUUCCGUUGGUGCUGUGGACGGAGAGCGGCUACUUAGACAUGGACUUCUGCCGAAUCCGCAUGAUGGACAACGACAACCAGGCCCUCGACGCCGUCUUGCCCCGCGAUGAGAACGGCUGCGGCGUGCGAGACGGCACGGCCAUGACGAUCACAGAGGAGAUCUACUGGAGCGACGAGGCCAACAAGACCUGCGACGGGCUUUACGCCGAGCUCACCUGCCGCGUCUACUUCAAGGCCCACGAAGGCUUCAACCUUACCUUGCGCGACGGUGCCAUCUGCCUCUUGCCCACCGACGCCGAUGUCAAGUACCAGCACCAGCACUGGAUCUAGACCCACCUUACGCCGGCUCCCUUCCUCCUCCCUCCCUCCUUUCUUCUUCCUCCAGACCCACCCGAGCCCGAGGUUCUUGCGCCGCCCCCCGCCGCCCCACCCCCAAAUCCACCUAAAAUCCGGCGAUUUCGGUGGGGGAAAGUAGUGGAAAUCAAUCCCUGCUUCGUGUGGAAGGUAUUCCCCUACUUUUUCUCGUAUUUUACCGUUGCAUUUGGUAGAUCGGAGGAUGUUUAGGUGAUUUAGGGUUAGGUAGAUGAUUUCAAUUUUGAAUGAAAUGCAAUGGUGUUUUGUGUUAGAUGAUACGUAGUUCAGACGCAAUUGAGUCUCUGCCCGCGAUAUUGACGUGUAGAACUUGUCGAUUUAGGUAUAUAUUCAUUGAAUUGUGUAGUUGAUAUGACAUGUAUAUUUUUUGUUUGCAAUUUGUCCAAUAUGUGUAAUGUGUCUAGUUGAUAUGUUGAAUAUGUGCAAUGUGUAGUGUAUAUGACAUGGUGAAAUGUUUGUAUUUUGUAGAUGGAUCGUUUAGUUCGUUUUUUUCAUGGUGGUGUUGUGAAACAAAAUGGGGAGUUAGAGAAUAUGAAUGAGUCAAUUGCAUUCUUCGAGGGUCCUCCAAGUUUUAGUGAUUUAGUUGACCGUGUAAUGAGGAAGUAUGGAUGUAGAGUGGAUGAGAUCAGUUUGAGAGGUCGUUUUGAUUGUGGGAAAGCUAGAGCUCAUUAUGUUCUCAUGAAGUUAGCAUCCGAUGCGAAUUGGAAGCACUAUAAGGAUGUAGUUCACGAAGCUAAUGUUGCAUGUUUGGAGGUGUUGAUGCCAGAUUUUGACACUAUGAAAUUGGCGUCAGAAAAGGAAGAAAUCAAGAGAUGCGGCAAGACACGGAGGUCACGAUUGGAAAUCGGCCGAUUGGUGCUACAGUUGAGGAUCGACCGAUUGGUGCUGCAGUGUUUCCGCGAAUGGAGUUGGUGGAAAUCGGCUGAUUGGGAGGCUGGAGCAAUUGGGCCGGUAUGGGCUUAAAGUGAACUAUGAAGAUAAAGAGGGAGUCAGCCCAUGGGAGCGCGAUGAUCAACUCCAGUACGAGUCACACUUGUAAAUAUUUGUUUUCGUUUAAAAUUAGAGAUAGAGUCCUAGUCGGUUAAGAAAUUGGUUAUAACAGGCUAUAAAUAGUCACCUUCGUAGAUCUGUAAUCAUCAUCAAAUCAAUACAACAAACUACUAUUUCCUCACACUUACUUUCGAGCAGGCGACUUCGCCAAUACUUUUCUUCUUUUUCACGAGUUCGUACAGGUUGGCGGGGCUGCAUCAACUUGAUCUCCGGCCGAUUCUGUAAGUUCCGCUUAUCGAGUAAUAUCUAAGCUUUAACUUCGGACGCAUCGCUGUCGUUUCGUUUAGAUUUAUUCACUAGUUAUCGAUAUUCACUAGAAUUCUAGGUCUUGCCUUUUGUUCUAGUUUUAUCACCAGUUAUCCAGCUAGGAAUUGGAACUUUCAGCUUUCUUGUACUUUAUUACUUAAUCUAUCGCUUUCUGCAUAGCCAAUUCAGAUCUAUUCCUAGUAUUGUUACUGUAGCGUUGUUUAGAUUACUCUAGCAGUUUUCUUUACUAACGCUGCCCGGUAAUCGGCCGCAUUAUAGCCGAUUUCUUUAUUACAGCAAAUCAGCCGAUUCGCUGAUAAGCUUUCUCGAGAUCGGAACCUUAGCCGAUCGCAACCUCUGGGAUCUGACAUGUUUCUUUCCUUGCCAAUCAACAGGUCAGAUUGGCUGGCACACCGCGCGAACCGCACUAGGGCAAUCACCCGAACAAGAGUUAAGCAGAUUCUCCCAGGUCGUGUGUCCGACGCUAGAGAUUCGAUCAGCCGAUUUCUAGCGCCAACAGGAGGUUAUAGUCGAAAUUGUUCGUAUACCUGGCCCAAAUGUUGUCAUGAGGGAGGAAGUGGCGGUAGUGAACCAUAAUGGUACCCAGGAGUCAGAAAUGUUGCAUCACGUGUUAGGUGAAACAGAACGUGAUUUUAACUUGGCUAUUGCCAAUGACGAUUUUCCCAAUAACAUUUUUGAGAGGGAUGAAGCAAAUAUAGAUGUCGAUAAUGUCUCUAUGGGUUCCGAAGAUUGUGAAUUCGAGGAAGAUGGGGUAGUAGGUGUGGAGGUAGAGGAGGAAUCACUAUUUGAGAGUGGUGGGCAUGAAUAUAAGGACGACAGGAUAGAAAAUGAAGAGGAUGGACCGCAAUUUGACACCGCAACCGUGCAUGAUGUAGAAGGCAUUCGUCGUAUGGACGAUUGUUUUUCUUACACCCAGAACAAGUUGCGGUUGUUAAAAGAACGUGAUGUCGAACUGCCAUCCAUUCCCAAUGAUAAGGACAUCAGUAUGGUCCACAAAGCAAUAUGUGAAUCUAGUAUGGUGAAUGCCGAAGGGACGUCCGUUGGUGAGAGUCCAGUGAUUAAGAAGGGGAUGAAGUUCAAUAGUCUUGAGGAGCUGAAGUUUUUCUUGGCUGACUACGCAGUGAGGUUACAUAGACCUUUUAGCGUAGUUCACUCUGACAAGAACUUAAGAUACAAUGUGAUGUGCAAGCAAGGAUGCCAUUGGCGUGUAUGGUCUCGGCUAAUAUCAAGCACCGGACAAUGGAGAAUUUCAAAUGUUGUGUAACCGCAUACUUGUCGGUCGUCACAGCCGAAGCGAGAGCAUGUACAGUGCACAGCAAAGUACCUUGGGUGGCGUAUCCUAGGCAUUAUCCGUAAAGACAGCGAGACAUCGGUGCCAUCCCUCGUGGAGUUCAUCUUCGCCUUUAGUGGGUACCGUGUGAAGUAUUCGAAGGCUUGGCGGGCGAAGCAACACGCCAUUGCCCUGCUUUAGGGCGACUGGAAGGAGUCGUACGGCAUGGUUCCUAGGGUACUCUCAGCUAUAACCUACUACAAUUUCGGGGUUAAAUGGUGCAUCGACUCAUGUGGCAUGAUGCAUCCUGACAAUGGAGUUUUGAAGCAUAUACUGCAAAGGGGAUUUUGGUGCUUCCCUCAAUGUAGUGAGGCAUUUCAACAUUGCCGUCCUGUGAUACUUGUGGACGGUACAUUCUUGACUGGCAAGUAUAAGGGUACGUUAAUGAUGGCAGUUGGUGUAGAUCCAGAACAGCAGCUUGUGCCUCUUGCUUUUGCCUUGGCCGAGAGUGAGAAUAAUGAGAGUUGGUCAUGGUUUAUGAAACUUGUUCGGCGACAUGUUCUUGGACCUUCACGGAUAGUGUGUAUGAUAUCAGAUAGGCAUCAUGGGCUCCUAAAUUGUACGAAGGACCACAUGGAUGGUUUUCCACCGCUUGUGCAUAGGUGGUGCACGAGGCACUUUGCUGCCAACAUGUCGCGUCGGCAGAAGAGCAACCGUGUGAUUGGAAAAUUGAAGAUAUUAUGCAAGGUUCAUACGGAGAGAGAAUUUAGUGAGAAGUUAGAAGAUCUAGUGAAGGACUUGAACGAUGACGCAAAAGAAUGGUUGAAGGGUGAAAUGGAGGACAAGGAUAAAUGGGCGUAGGCUUUCGAUGAGGGAGGGAUGCGUUGGGGUAUUAUGACCACGAACUACUCGGAAUCACUCAACGCAGUUUUCAAAGGCAUCCGAAGUAGGCCCGUCUCUGGAAUUAUUGAAUACUCAUUCGAAAAAUGCAACGCCUACUUUGUGGACCGAUAGCAAAAGGCACAUGCAAUGUUGGAUGAAGGCUAUAGAAUUGGGAAAGUUGCAGAUGAUUAUUUAUCAGAGGCUGAGCUUAGAUCCGUGCACCACUUAGCAGAACCGUACGGGCUAGAAAGGAUGGUGUAUUCUAUAAGAAGUUACGGUACGACUAACAUUGGGGGUGAGAGUCAUGGAGGCCGACACUACAGAGUGGAUCUGAACGAAGUUUCAUGCACCUGCAAUGUUCCACAAUUGUUGCACCUUCCAUGUUCACACUUCAUUACAGCUUGCAAGGCAAGAGGUCUUAACUAUGAAAGCCCCUUGUACAUGUCACCGUUGUACUCUAGGGAGCACACCGUCAAAAUAUGGGAAUCAAGAUUUCAACCUUACCUUGAUCCGUCACAAUGGCCAGCAUAUGAAGGGGUAGGGUACGUGCCUAACCCCAAUUUGAUGAGAAAUAAAGUAGGAAGGAGGAAGAAGAAGCGUUUCACAGGCGACAUGGACGUGUCGGAAGGGAGGUUGUUGACGCCAGAUUUCGUCACUAGUAAAAUCGACGCCAAGAAGAGAAGGAAAUGGAGAAGCACAGUUGGGAAUCGGCCGAAUGGUGCUACAGUACGAGAUCGGCCGAUGACUUCCGUCUCGCCUCGGGUCGAGCGUGCCGGGUUCCCAAUCGGUUGCCUCUUGCCGAUAAGGAAUCGGCCGAUUAGGAGGUUGGGUUAAUUGGGCCUGUAUGGGCUUGGAAAGGAAUAAAAGGAUGAGGGGGAGAUCAGCCCAUGAAACGUAGAGUAACCAACCUAGCACGAAUCGUGCUUGUAAAUAUUCGUUUUCUGUUUGAAUUAGGGAUAGAAUUCUAGUCGAAUAAGAAGUCAUCUAUACGGGGCUAUAAAUAGCUACCUUUGUAAAUCUGUGAUCAUCAACAAAUCAAUACAACAUACUACUUUUUCCUCGUACUUACUUUCAAGCAGACGACUUCGUCAUUACUUUUCUCUUUUUCACGAGUUCGUGCGGGUUGGCAGGGCUGCAUCAGUUUGAUCUCCGUCCGAUUCUGUAAGUUCCGCUUAUCGAGUAAUAUCUAAGCUUUAACUUCGGGCGUAUCGCUGUUGUUUCGUUUAGAUUUAUUCACUAGUUAUCGAUAUUUGCUAGAUUCAUAGGUUUUACCUGUCUUUCUAGUUUUAUCACCAGUUAUCCAGCUAGGAAUCGGUAGUUUCGGCUUUCUUCACGUUCUGCUUUUGAAUUCAUCUAUUGCCGAUUAGAUCUGUUCCUAGUGUUGUUAUCUUAGCUCUGUGUCGAUUACUCUAGUAGUUUUCUGUCUACAAGGCUACAGUGAUCGGCUGCCUUAUAGCCGAUUUCUUUAUUACGGCAAAUCGGCCGAUUCGCUGAUAAGCUCUCUCGUGAUCGGAAACCUAGCCGAUCGCGAUUUCUGGACCUGACACGUAUUCUUCCUUGCCAAUCAACAGGUCAGAUUGGCUGGCACGCCGCGCGAACCGCACCAGGGCAAUCACCCGAACAGGAGUUAAGCAGAUUCUCCCGGGUCCUGUGUCAGACGAUGGGAUUCGGUUGACCGAUUUCUAGCGCUAACACACUUUUGGCACGCCCAGUGGGAUCAAUACAACCGCCAUCAUGUCGAAAGCUGCUGAAGUCUCCGAAGAAAACGUCAUCGAGGUGACGGAAGCAGAUCUGAAGGACGACUAGAAGGAAGAACUGGAUAAGUAUACGGCACAGUUCCGGAAAGCUUGCCUACAGUCUUUCAGUCGCUCCAGAAGCGGGGAGACUAUCAAGAAGACUCCGUUCCCUGCUUCCCGCCAGAUCACGAUUUCUGAGGACUCAGACAAAAUGGCCGAUAUGAUUCAACAGUCCAUUUAUCACGCCUUCGUUGAUCAGUCCCCAGUACUUUCAAAUAUGGUGCACAACGCCGUUGUCAACUCCUUCGCUGGUGGGAUACCUCAAGGAUACAGGGGACCGGCAUAUUUUCAGCCGAUUCCACCAAACCAGAAUUAUUCGAGUUCGGUUUCACAGCCGAUCCAAUUUUCUGUCGGGGGUUCAGGUGCUUCCUCAUCAUCAGCUCCUAUGGGGUAUAACUCCAUCCAACUGUCUUCCGCACCAUUCCCUCCAGUUAGCCCAUCACCCUGGGGGGCACCUUCAGCCACGGCCGGUCAGAAUCAAUCGGCCAGUCAAGGAAGCCCUCCAUUCCAGGCAUCUUUCCAGGCGGCCACUCGGCCGACCGUACCGCCAUACCAGCCUGUCGCUCCGGAGGUCAACAAGACAGCAAAGCUCAUGCUGUAUGAUGAAACGAGUGGUUCAUUCAAACAGCCAACCUUUACCACGCAGCCGGCUUUCACCCAGAUGCCACCUGCUUUCACUCAGCCUCCGUUUAUUCCGCCUCCGGUUUACCAGCACGUGCCAAUACCUCAGCCAACGGUUCACCAGCAACAGCCAGAUUGGUCGUCACGUAUUGCGGAGGUGAUGCAAGAACAAUUCGGCUUAAAGCCGAAAGUACAAACUUACACCUACAGAAUACCAUACCCGUCUACAUAUGACCUAUUGCCGUUCCCCCAUCGGUAUAAAGUUCCUGACUUCACUAAGUUUUCGGGGAUGGAUGACACUUCGACCGUAGAGCACGUGAACAGAUUCAUCAUCCAAUGCGGAGAGGCAGCUACGCAGGAUGCCCUACGGGUACGGUUGUUCUCAUCAUCUUUGUCUGGGUCGGCCUUUCAAUGGUUCACGACAUUGCCGCCAAACUCGAUUAUCACAUGGGCUGAUUUGGAAAGACAGUUCCACAAAUACUUCUACGCCGGGGUGCAUGAGAUGAAACUGUCCGAUUUGACCAGCCUCAGGCAAAGAAGUGACGAGCCGAUAUCCUCGUAUGUACAGAGGUUUCGGGAAAUCAGAAACAAGUGCUAUUCCCUGGCUCUAAACGACGCGCAGUUGGUCGAUAUAGCUUUUCAAGGCCUUCUGCCCCACAUCAAAGAAAAAUACGCCUCACAGGAGUUCGAGAGUUUGAGCCAGAUUGUCCACCGAUUGUCUGGAUAGGAGGUACGUUCCUUCGAUCCACGGAGGAAUUUCCAGAAGAAAGUGGCGUUCCUGGAAGAGUUAGAGGACAAGGAAGACGUUGAAGUCGGACUUGCGGAGUGGAUCAAGGGAAAGAAGCCGAUAUCAUGCCCAUUCGGCAAAAAGGAGCCGGAGGUGUUCGGUUUUGACACGACAAAGGCCGAUAAAAUAUUCGACCUUCUCCUCCAGGAAGGACAGAUUAAACUCUCGCCAUACCAUACAAUACCUUCUGCCGAACAACUAAAAAAGAUGAAAUACUGCAAGUGGCACAAUGUCACAUCCCAUGAUACUAAUGAGUGCAAAAUCUUCAGGCAGCAGAUACAGUCGGCCAUUGAGCAGGGCAGACUUAAAUUUUAAGUGCCGACAAAAUCGGCCAAGCCAAUGAAGAUCGACCAGCACCCCUUCCCCACCAAUAUGGUUGAUACGGGAAAGAAUUCACUCCAAACAAAAGUGCUGACGUCCGAAUCGGCUAAAAAGAGUGGCGCCGUCGACCCCAAAAAUCAAGCUAUGCCUGAAGAUGUAAGGGGAAGCGGCGGAUGGAGGAUGACGAUGGCGAAUCAGAAGAGCCACGCAUUACUUCCCAGUUCCUGCUCCAGAAGUACCAACGUCAGCAUGAACGCUCAAGGUCCCGGGAAGAAGCAAUGCGACGGCACGAAGAUCACUGGAGGUGCCCGUUCUUCAUCCACUGUUGGGAAAACAACCUCAGGCUACCUUCGGCCGAUAAUUGCCCAGAAUGCAAUAGUCCAUAUCGUGGCAAUCGACCGUUGAACAGGUCUCGCUCCAGAGACGGAAGGCCAGAGCCGAUCAGCAGGAAUUGGCGCAACCAAGAUGACCAGCGCCCUCCCGUGCAUGAUCGGCUGGGGGGCAGAAGUGACCGAUAUCAUCGGUCGGAAGAUAGACGCCAUGACAGGCAGGGGGGCAUGACUGAUCGGCAUGACCGGUCAGAAAACAAAGCCAACGUUCACAGCUGGCUCGAAGAGAUGGCCGAUGCUCGGGUGACGGACGAAAACCCGUUAGGACGCGAACCGGAGUGGGAACGCGCCAGGACAGGAGCAAGACCAAUAAACCCCAGGUGGUGUCCCGAUGGAUUGACCAAGUCUCAGAAAUGAAGAAUCCAACGUCUCCGCCAAUUGGAACAGCAAGAAGAGGAACAACAGAGCACGACGGACAAGAAGGAAGGAAGGCCUCGGGUGUGGCGUCCCAAAAGAAACAAUAAAGGAGACGACGAAUCGGCGGGUGACGAAUCGGCAGCCGAGAUCGGCAUGGUUUUCAUACUGCCGAUGGAAUUCAUGACUCCCGCCGAUCAACAGGAUAUAUCGGCGAUAGAAGACCAGACGGCACAGUUGGUUUUGGAGCCAAUGAUGGCCACAUUCGAGAAGCCCGAAGAUAGCGAACGACAACACAUGAAGGCGCUGUUCCUUAAAGGGCAUGUUGACGGCCGCCCCCUCACUAGAAUGAUGGUAGACGGAGGAGCUGCUGUCAACAUCAUGCCAUACGCCAUGCUCCGGAAGCUUGGAAAAAGCGACGACGACUUGACUAAGACGGACUUCGAAGGCAACGUGUCAAGCGCUCGCGGCGCUCUCUGCGUCGACCUCACCAUCGGCAGUAAGACCCUCCCUACCACCUUCUUUAUUAUUAAUGGCAAGGGAUCCUACAAUAUGCUGCUCGGCCGGGACUGGAUACACGCAAAUUGCUGCAUCCCGUCAACAAUGCAUCAAUAUCUCGUACAAUGGGUCGGCGAUAACAUCGAGGUGGUCAACGCCGAUUCCGCAUACAGCAUCGCGGCAGCCGACACACAACAGUGGAGCUGCGAAACCGUCAGGUGCAUAUCCGGCAGAGUAUGGGAGACCGAUUUCCUGAAGGUCACCGAUUUUGGCCUACAGCCGAUCCGAGCAGUCGGCUCCGAAGACUCAGAAUAGAUGGAUCAGUUCGCCCGAGAAUAUGGGAAGCUAGGGCACGGGUUCACGUCGGCCGAUUCAUUAGAGAUGAUAGACUUAGGCGAUGGUACCAAACCAAGGCCGACUUAUAUUAGUGCAAAUUUAGACCCAGAAUACAAGUGUAAAUUGACAAAUUUGUUAAAAGAAUUUAAGGAUUGUUUUGCUUGGGAGUAUCAUGAGAUGCCCGGUUUAGAUCGGUCUAUUGUUGAACAUCGGCUACCCAUAAAACCAGGGUAUCGGCCGUACCAACAGCCUGCACGGCGCUGCAAUCCUAAGAUUCUACCAGACAUAAAAGUUGAAAUAACUCGGCUAAUCGAAGCAAAAUUUAUUCGGCAAUGCCGUUAUGCCGAGUGGAUCUCCAACAUUGUACCAGUGUACAAGAAGAAUGGAAAGCUACGCAUUUGCGUUGAUUUCAGGAAUCUUAAUCAGGCCACACUGAUGGAUGGUUACCCCAUGCCGACGGCCGAUGUGUUGAUCGACGCUGCCGCAGGGCACAAGAUUAUUAGCUUCAUGGACGGAAACGCUAGGUACAAUCAAAUACUUAUGGCCGAAGAGGACAUACCCAAAACGGCCUUCAGAUGCCCAGGUCACCUUGGCUUGUUCGAGUGGGUGGUGAUGACUUUCGGCUUGAAGAACGCUGGCGCUACAUAUCAGAGGGCCAUGAAUUACAUAUUUCACAAACUCAUUGGCAUUCUGGUAGAGAUCUACAUCGAUGACGUCGUAGUCAAGUCCAAAGGUCAUGAAGAGCAUCUGGCCGAUUUACGAAGAGUGCUAGAGUGCACCAAGAAACACGGUCUUAAGAUGAAUCCCAAUAAAUGUGCUUUCGGCGUAUCCGCCGGACAGUUCUUAGGAUUCAUGGUGCAUGAACGAGGGAUAGAGAUCAAUCGGAAGACCAUAGCGGCCAUCAACAAAGUCGUGGCCCCGCAGAAUAAAACCGAACUGCAGUCUUUAAUCGGCAAGGUGAAUUUCAUCAGAAGAUUCAUAUCUAAUCUAUCUAGGCGGAUUCAGGCGUUCACGCCACUGUUGAAGUUAAAGCCUGACCAGGAAUUUAUAUGGGGGGAAGAGCAGCGCAAAGCAUUGGAAGAUAUCAAGCGAUACUUGGUCUCGCCACCGGUAUUGGUUCCUCCUCAGACUGGUAAACCGUUUAAGAUAUACUUAUCUGCCGAUGAAAAGGCUAUUGGGUCGGCUCUGGUCCAGGAGUUCGAAGGCAAGGAACGAGUAAUUUAUUAUGUCAGUAGAAGACUUCUGGACGCUGAAACAAGAUACCCUCCGGUGGAGCGUUUGUGCCUAUGUCUUUACUUCUCAUGCACCAAACUCAGGCACUAUCUACUGUCGGCAGAAUGCGUGGUCGUAUGCAAAGACGACGUAGUAAAAUACAUGCUAUCGCUGCCGAUCUUGAAAGGACGAAUCGGCAAAUGGAUCUUAGCGUUGUCAGAAUUCGACCUGCGGUAUGAAUCGGCGAAAGCCGUCAAGGGUCAGGUCAUGGCCGAUUUCGUCGCCCAACACUGCGGACUGGAGAUUGCCCUCGUAGAGCCGGCACCUUGGACAUUAUAUUUCGAUGGGUCAUCAUGUGGAGUCGGAUCAGGAAUCGGCAUCGUCCUCAUAUCGCCUCGGGGGGCAAGCUAUGAUUUUCUCUGCCGAUAGAAGCCGCCGCUACUAACAAUCAAGCGGAGUACCGAGCUGUGUUGAAGGGCCUACAACUAUUAAGGGAAGUCAAGGCCGAUUCUGUUGAAAUCUUCGGAGAUUCCAUGCUUAUUGUGGAUCAACUGACCGGAAGGUCCGAAUGCAAGGACGACGUAUUAAGAAUUUAUUACGAAGAUUGCUUACAGCUCUUAAAAGAAUUUAGAUCGGUAGUAAUCGAACACAUCCCAAGGGACCACAACGAGGGUGCCAACGAGCUCGCCCAGCACGCAUCUGGAUAUCGGCCAAUUCUAGGCGCUAUGGCUCUAGAACUCGCGACCGAUGACUGACGAAAAGAAAUUGCCGACUACCUGAAAGAUCUGUCUAAAAAGGUGGAACGACGAGUACGUUUUCAUGCUACUAAAUACGUACUGCUCGAAGACGACCUAUUCUACCGAAUGAUCGACGGUGUUCUACUAAAAUGCUUUGGGACAGAGGAGGCCAAGACCCUAAUGGGAGAAAUCCAUGAAGGGGUAUGUGGAGCACACCAAUCGGCCCAUAAGAUGAAGUGGAUGAUCAGGAAUAAUGGGUACUACUGGCCAACGAUCCUCGAAGACUGUUUCAAAUAUUAUAAGGGGUGUCAGGAUUGUCAAAAGUUCAGAAAUGUCCAACGUGCACCUGCAUCGGCCAUGAAUCCCAUUAUCAAGCCAUGGUCGUUCAGGGGAUAGGGAAUAGACCUUAUCGGCCAAAUUUACCCUCUAUCAAGUAAAGGGCAUAAGUUUAUUCUGGUGGCUACUGAUUACUUUACCAAAUGGGUGGAGGCAAUUCUGUUAAGAGCUGUGACAUCGGCUAUCAUGGCCGACUUCGUAAGAGAUCACAUUGUCUAUCGAUUCGGCAUUCCUCAGACUAUAACGAUCGAUCAAGGAACAAUGUUCACAUCGGGGGAAUUCGAGGAAUUUACAACCGAUAUGGGGAUCAAAUUGUUGAAUUCUUCUCCGUAUUACGCCCAAGCCAAUGGUCAGGCCGAAUCCUCCAACAAAGGGAUAAUCAAGUUGAUCAAAAGGAAAAUCGAGGAACAGCCAAAGAAGUGGCAUCUAUGUUUGACUGAGGCCCUAUGGGCGUACAGAAUGGCUUGUCAUGGGGCUACCAAGUUAUCUCCCUAUCAGUUGGUGUACGGUCACGAUGCAGUACUACCAUGGGAAUCGAGGGCGGGAUCGAGGCGUAUUUCGCUCCAGGACCAGUUAACGGCCGAUGACUACUCAUCACUCAUGAAAAGGGAGCUUGAUGAUUUGGCUGGCCAACGAUUGAGUGCUCUGAUAAGCAUUGAAGAAAACAAAAAGAAAGUCGCCAGGUGGUACGAUAAGAAGGUCAAAGUCAAACAAUUCUCCCCUGGGGACUUAGUAUGGAAGUUAGUACUGUCGAUUGGGUCGAAAGAUCCUAAAUUCGGAAAAUGGUCCCCUACAUGGGAAGGGCCGUAUAAAAUCGGCAGAUGUGCUCCAGGGAAUGCUUACAUUUUGGAAAUAAUAGAGGGGGAAGAAUUUACUAGAGCUCUGAACGGAAGGUACUUAAAAAGAUACUAUCCCAGUAUAUGGGUCGGAGCAUAAGGGAUUAACCGUAAUACGAUCACACACAGCCGAUACAAAACGGUUCAAACACAUAGUCGUCCAAAUCGGCCGAUGUAUUCAUUCGGUACGGGCGAUGGGUUACACGGCCGACAAAACACAAGUCGCCCUUAGAACAAAAAACACAAAUAACUAAUUAUUCUUCUUCUUGCGCUCCCCCUCAGUCCGAUCCAACUCAUUCAUGAGACAGAGGUAUUCUUCUUCUAUUUCUUUCAUUGAAGCCUCCGCUUCAACUUGGCGAGGGAGAGGAUGGCUCCGGUCCAUGGCCGGGCGCGAAGUUCCUGCCGCCGCGUCUUCAAGAACGACUCGCGGAGGAAGCAGAUGGCUCCUAUCGGUUGGAGAUCGCCGGCUACCAUUGCUCUCCACAAAAUCCAAGCCCACACGAGCCUCCGCGGUGACGUGGUCUUGAAGUUCGUCACGAUGAGCCCUGAUCAGCUCCUGAUCCUCUGACGACAAUGGGUCCUCAGAGUGUAUGAGCUCAAUGGCGCGUACGAGCUCAGGGCUAAGGCGUUGAGGCUGAAACAAAGAAAGAUUAAAAAGGGGGCAUCCUCUUCCUAAGAUCUAAAAGGAGAAAGGGGAGUCGAGGCCAAGGUUUCACCUGGUUGACGGAGGAGGAGGAGGCCGACGAAGACAUGACGGAAGGCCGCACCGACGAGAGGAGUAAAGAGAAUAAAACCGAAAGCCAAACUGGUACCCUCGGAAGGAAGUGCCUAGGCCGGCACUUAUAAGAAAAAGAGGCGUGGAAAUUUGGUAAUGAUACGUCCCAUCGGAAAUAAGAAAGGCAAUAAAUAGAAAGGGCGCCGCGAAGGGUGGUCAAAGCGGAUAGUAAAUGUUCGUACAAAAUAGCCAGUGUUUUACAGACUACCCAGAAGGGUAUCGCUAGCCGCGAUUGCCUGACGCCGGAUCUGAUCGGCAGAGUCCAGGACCCGUUGGUCUUCAUCCGCCGAUCCGGGGACUUCUGAUGCGCUGCGAUGGAGUUUUAGGGCCUCGUGGGCCAAGUGCUGCCUCUCCCGUUUCAAAUCGGCAAUGACAGAAGGGAGUUCUUGGAGCCUCUUCUCUUCGGCACUGAUUGCUUUGGUCACUUGCUCUAUCUCCUUGGCGAGCUCCGCCCUCCGACGCUUGAGGCGGUCUAUCUCACCUAUGAUCCCCGGGCGGGAAUUCUCCAGAAAAUGGAUACGUCGGUGUGCCUCUUGAGCUUGGCGCUUGAACGCGUCCUCCUCUUCACGAGUCUUGGCCAGCUUGGCGCGAUCGGCCAUGUGACGAAGGGCUCUGAAGACCGGGAUCCUCAUAGACUCGAUGAAUGCCGCCGGUGCCAAGGCUUCCUCCGCCUCUUCUGGUACUCGUCCGCUGACGUCACCGAAGAGCUGCCGAAUCGGUGAAGCAUCUUCUACUAAUCGGCCGAUGUCCCCUUGAAGGAGGGAUCGGAUACUAGCGAGUUUGGCUCGGACGUCAUCAGGAAUGGAACUCAAGGCGACUUGGCGGGAAGCGACUUCUUCAUUAUCGGAGAGGGCAACCGCAAAAGAGAAGAGGCUGUUGUCGGGGGUGUCUUGUUCCUGGAGAUAAUAAAGAGGGAGAAAUAAACCGGCUGAAGGUGGAAGCAAAUCGGCUAAAUAAAGCCGGAAUAUAACUUACCACUUUGAAGCGAAUUUCUUCAUGUUGCAUUUGGGAAGCCGUCAUGCCUUGCUCAGGGGCUUGUGCCAUGGGUUCGUCAGAAGAGGAAGACUCCACAACGAUCGGCGCGGUGCUUGGACCAGCUCCCUGAGAAAAGACCGGUGGUUGAGGAGCGCUUGGUGUACCGAUGACCUGUGUCAGAGAAUUGAAUAAGUACAUUAUGCAAAUACCAGGGAAAAUCGGUGAAAUAGAGCUAUACCUCAACGGAUAGAAGUGGGGGCGCGUCGACGGCCGAUUGGGCUGCUGCCGAUUGUCGGAUAUCCAUGGGAGUGCUCUGUGCAGUCUAAAGAUAAGAAGGGUUAAUAUCAGAACAACAAUCGGGAGGAGUAAAACUUAGGUUUACCUGAACGGCCUCCAACAACAAUGACGCGGCGGCUGCUCCAGCUUGUGCCAUGACUUGGGUAUCAUCAUCUUUGGUGGCCUGAGGGGGUGGCGCGGCCGGAGUCUCUGCCGAUACGAGCGUAGGAGGAUCCGCCGAUUCUAUACGAGCUCGGACUCGACGACUGGUUUUUUUGGUGAUCCUCUUCUGAACUUGUUUCGAUCGGCCAGCAAUCACGUCCACAGACGGAGCAUCAUAGCCAAUAAGAGGAUAAGAGGUGUAUGGAUGAUGACUCUCUAUUAGCCGACCACUCCGGCUGUGUGUUGGAGGUGUACGGUUCUCGACCUGAAGAAAUAAUAAAACUAUUAGUAUUCAAUCACGUUAAGAGGAGUAAGAAUCGGCUAAGGAAAAUACCUCGGCAUUCGGGUCAAUGUUGGCUGGAUCCAGGAGGUUGUAGUAUGCCGAUGCCGAAUUGCAGAAGAGAAAUUGCUUCCAAUCGGCCCACCAGAGUUUGAACGGCUGGACAGCAAAGGGAGCUACUAUCCAGUUGUUCAGGUCAAUGGUGUUGGAGUCCGGAAUCCGGUCGCGUACCCGACUGUAAUCCAGACCGGAUGUGAGCUCAUCUUUGAACUUGACUCGGCCAGCAAAAUACACUUGAAUCGGCAGCUGACCCAUGCCGAACUGACGUGCUGCAACGGAAGGGUUGUAAAACUCAUACGUGGGGGCAUCUUUCCCCGAAAAGAAGUUGGCUGGCAAGAUUCCUGGCUUGAUUAACUCAUCAUUGAGCUCUUCGUCAAAUCGGCCAGUGAUCGAAUCGAAGCAGGUGGGGAGUUCAAAGAUUGGGUUAUCCCGCCGAUAAGGAAACCAAACGGUUGCAUCUUCAUUAAAGCCAUUAUAGAAGCAUCGGAAGUACUCGGCUACCUUUGUAGCAGAAUAUGUGCAACCUGGAAAGGCCGAUACUGCUUCACCAAAAGACAUGCAUCGGCGACGUUCAGUAGGAUCUUCUGCCGAUUCAAUGUUGGGAAACAUCAUACGGUCCACCCUAUGCUGAGUGAUCUCGCUCAUGUAGAGGUUCAACCAUAGGUUGAUAAACCACCAGGGUCCGCCUGGAUUUCCGAUCGGCUCUCCCUUGGAUAGUCUGAUGCCGAUUUGAUGGAGCAUGUGGUACAUCGCCCCUAGCAAGUGUUUCCCAAGGGGGACACGGUUUCCUCUGGACAGUGCUUCGGCUAAAGCCUGGGUGUUGGUUGAUGGGCCGGCGGCUCUUCCACAAAAGAAGUGUUUUUCUAACCACAUCAUUAAGAAGGCCGUAUGCUCCCUAUUCUCAACAGACCCGGUUCUUUUAUUACUUCUGAUGAAACCCUUCCACCCGCCGAUUCCCCUUGUGUCCAGCCGAUGUGACGUUGUGGCUAAAAGGUGGAAAGGUGUGUCCGGGGAAGAAAUGUCAAGGCCGGUCAACAGAACCACAUCGGCUAGUGUUGGGGUCAUAGGUCCGUGCCCAAAUAAGAAAGCAUUGAGUGCAUCAGACCAAAAAUAAGAAGCCUCUAUUACCAACGGCUCAUUUUCUCCAUGUGGGACAAGGAUAGGUUGAUGCACUGGCCGAUUUUGAGCUCCUCCCACGAGACGCUCUUCGACGCGGCUACCCGUUGGUACCACUCCCUCCAACCUGGGGUUUCAUUCGGCCAGGACCUAAAAGUGCCCAACCAUUGAUCUAAGUCCAUGUCGGACAGUUUGAAGGGUAUCCUGUGGGUUUCUAAAUUGAUGAACUCUAUCGGAUCUGGGUUCCCCAUGGGUCCGAGGCAAAUAAGACCGGGAUUUCCCGUAAUAUGAAUGGUAAUGCGAUGCCUGACCGCCUAAAAAAGGAAAGGGGGGUGUAAAAAGGUAAGAAACAGAUCUAGAGUAAAUGCAUUGCCAAUGGGGGAAGGAUUCGGUAAAAACCUCUGGGAUGAAGUUCCGUGUGGUCGGCGUGGUCGCCGGUGCAGAUGCGGACGAUGAGGCCGUGAUGGGGAUCGCCAUUGGGAUCUCCGAUGAAGCUCCUUCUUCUGUUGAUGGAGCAACUGCCGUUGCCACUACCGCCGGAGGUGCCACUUCCGGAACAUCGUGUGCUGGAGAGCUGCUGGAAGGAGCCGCCAUUGGAGAGGAAGAGAAGAAGCAACGGGCGGUUGGCGCUAGGAAGCUCUGACGGCAAGAGAAAAGGUGCUAAAGGAAGAAGAAGGCGCGCGCUGAGAAAGGAAGACGUGAACUUGAAGAUGAAGUGCGGGGGUGAACCGCUAUUUAAAGGGCGCCUGAAGAAGGGUAAAAAUGGGAUUUUCACCGCGCCGGCGUUUCGAGUUUUUCGGGAGUAGUGGUUGUCGUGGGCGCCCGUUUCGAAAAGAUUGCAAUCAUCAGCUGGAAGACCGCGAAACAGAAGGAUAUUUUCAUUGCGGCUGUUUCGGAGGGGAGGUUAUAAAGAAUUUUGAAGUAAAAGAUUAUGUUUUACUCCGAAACUGGGGGGCAUGUGUUGACGCCAGAUUUCGUCACUAGUAAAAUCGGCGCCAAGAAAAGAAGGAAACGGAGAAGCACAGUUGGGAAUCGGCCGAAUGGUGCUACAGUACGAGAUCGGCCGAUGACUUCCGUCUCGCCUCGGGUCGAGCGUGCCGGGUUCCCAAUCGGUUGCCUCUUGCCGAUAAGGAAUCGGCCGAUUAGGAGGUUGGGUUAAUUGGGCCUGUAUGGGCUUGGAAAGGAAUAAAAGGAUGAGGGGGAGAUCAGCCCAUGAAGCGUAGAGUAACCAACCUAGCACGAAUCGUGCUUGUAAAUAUUCAUUUUCUGUUUGAAUUAGGGAUAGAAUUCUAGUCGGAUAAGAAGUCAUCUAUAAGGGGCUAUAAAUAGCUACCUUUGUAAAUCUGUGAUCAUCAACAAAUCAAUACAACAUACUACUUUUUCCUCGUACUUACUUUCAAGCAGACGACUUCGUCAUUACUUUUCUCUUUUUCACGAGUUCGUGCGGGUUGGCAGGGCUGCAUCAGUUUGAUCUCCGGCCGAUUCUGUAAGUUCCGCUUAUCGAGUAAUAUCUAAACUUUAACUUCGGGCGUAUCGCUGUUGUUUCAUUUAGAUUUAUUCACUAGUUAUCGAUAUUUGCUAGAUUCAUAGGUUUUACCUGUCUUUCUAGUUUUAUCACCAGUUAUCCAGCUAGGAAUCGGUAGUUUCGGCUUUCUUCACGUUCUGCUUUUGAAUUCAUCUAUUGCCGAUUAGAUCUGUUCCUAGUGUUGUUAUCUUAGCUCUGUGUCGAUUACUCUAGUAGUUUUCUGUCUACAAGGCUACAGUCAUCGGCUGCCUUAUAGCCGAUUUCUUUAUUACGGCAAAUCGGCCGAUUCGCUGAUAAGCUCUCUCGAGAUCGGAAACCUAGCCGAUCGCGAUUUCUGGACCUGACACGUAUUCUUCCUUGCCAAUCAACAGGUCAGAUUGGCUGGCACGCCGCGCGAACCGCACCAGGGCAAUCACCCGAACAGGAGUUAAGCAGAUUCUCCCGGGUCGUGUGUCAGACGCUGGGAUUCGGUUAACCGAUUUCUAGCGCUAACAGAGGUUUUCUGCAGAUUAUGGCACUGGUGAUUUUGAUGUGGACAAGUCGGAAAAUCGUUGCUCGAAGUGCCCCAAGAUCAUUAGGAAUUACACGUGCCGCAAUAGAAAAUCUAAAGGCACGAAAUCUAGGGGGAACAGUAAUAGGCUGCGUUCUUUGAACAAUAGGGUAUGCGCGUUGCUCGUAUUUUGCAUGGUUAUCAUUUUAUCUUUUUUUUUAUAGUAGUAAAUUAUCAUAGUUACCGUACUUAUCAUAUAAUGAAGCAUUUUACUAAUGAUCUUGUUUGUUGUUUCUUUAGGAUGGCAGCCCCGGCGUACCCUCUUCUUGAGUCGGCUUACGACUUGCAGCACCGUGCCCACCACCUCGCGGAUCUAAAUGAGGUACUACAUCAGUUAUUAACAAUGGUUGCUAAUUUAUGCUGAUGAAUGCAUACCUUAGGAUGAUAACUGCAAGAUUUUCGUAUGAAAUGUUCUUACAAAUUGAGGAUGUGCCUGUCGUUACUAUUUGCUUGUGUACAAUGUAAACAAUUUCAUACUGAAAUGUCAUUUAUAUCAUAUUUGUGUUACUUACCACUUUAGUAGCCCUUGAUUCUCAAAUGCAUUGACUUCUCAUUUUUGUAAUAAUCUUAUAAUGUUUUGCAGGAUUUGAAACCACUCAGGGCUAAAGUGCACUCACCACUUAGGUAGGAUGAGCGGUACGUGGAGUACUUGCAGAGAGCUGGUUUUUGGGAUCUUGCUGUUCAGGUUGCAACACCGUCCACUGCUGCAGGUCCUAGCAGGAGAUCACGAGGCAAGGAACCCCCAUCCCCUCAGGCAAGCGAGGACUCUAAAGGUGAGCAGUCUGAGGAUGACGACCCUACAUAUGGUGAGGAACUGGAGAUUUCCGGCAUGAUCGAUGCUCCACCUAUGACUCAGACACAUCGUGAGUCCAGCUAGGUACAUUCACAAGUUUCCCCAAAUUCAAUUCUAGAUUGUUAAUGUUCACUCCCGAAGUGUCAUACAAAUAUCCAGAUCUAUAUAAAAUGGUCAUCAAACAUAUGAUGUAUGGUCCUUGCGGCAUAUUAAACAUAAAUUGCCCUGCACAAAGAAUCGAGCAUCUUGCAAAAACAAUUAUCCAAGACCAUUUAAUGAAACUACAAUUCAAGGCAAGGACUCCUACCCAUUGUAUAGAAGACGAAAUGACGGUCACACUGAAACAGUCCGGAACUGUAAACUAGAUAACAGAUGGGUUGUUCCUUGCAACCUGUUGACACCGGAUUUUGACCAAUCCUAUAAAUUCGGAGUACAAGAUAAUUGGAGUCACGUACAACAAUAAGAAGCUAGCAUGCGUGUAUAUGGGCACGGAGUCCAAAUCGGCUUGAUUGGAUUGAUCGGCAAGGAGAGGCAAGGAUGAUAUAAAGGAAUGGCCAGCACGUAUGGAUAAAAAUGAUUAGAAUAUACAACAUGGAUUCUGGUGCACUUUGCAUGCCAUGCGUGGGAGGCUUCCAGAAUAAUUAUUCAUACCGAUCUGUGCAUGUACGGGAGGUUGUUUCAUAGAAUAAAAUAUUUUAGAGAUAGAGUUGGGUUAGUUAGAGAUAGAGUUUUUUAUUAGAAAAGAUUGUGUACGUGACUUGCCUUGUGCGUGGUUAGAUGCCAAUUAUGUAACGUCCGCCCUAUAAAUAUAAAGGGACGUGGCCAUUGUAAAGAAUCAUCACACGAUCAAUAAACAAACAUAUUUACCUUUACCUUUCGGCUCCACGCCAUUUCCCUAGGAGUAGGAGUAAUGUAGUUUCUCGACGAGUUCCUUCUAGCAAGCUGGGCUGCAUCGACCUCGAUCUCCGGUGAGCUGCAAGUUCCGUCACCAGGUGUUCUAGGCUUUAACCACCGGGCGCAUCGCUGUGGUUUCUUCUAGUUUCAUCUACUAGUUAUCGAGUAUCUUGGAUCUUUGACUUACGGCGCAUCGCUUCUAUCUCGAUCUACGGUAUUUACCAGUUAUCCCACCUUGAUUAAGCUUGCAUCGGCUGAUAUUUGUCUGUUCUAUCGUCUUGCCGUUUACGACAUAUUAAUUGUUAUUAAUUCUGUCGGAAUAGACGAUAGAUCUAUUCUUAAUAGCCUGUUGCAUCUUAAUCUUGGUUACCCUUUCGAGUGCUGUUGGGAUUAAGUUUCGUUAUGAUUGGAUUCAUCGGCUGGCGAGGUUCAGAUUAACAUCCUGCUAAAUAUUUCUAGACUGCAACUACCGGGCGCAUCGCUGUGGUUUCACCUAGAGAUAUUGGUGGAGAGUUUAGUUUAGAUCUUAUCGGCUUGUAACUCUAGCUAUGGUGGAGCAGUAGCUCAACAGCAUCCUGUUUUCUAUCAGCCGUCUGGCUGAUGGUUAUUGUAAAUUAUAUUAAAUCGGCCCGAUCGGCCGACUCCAUCGAACUUCGAGAGAAUUAUCUCCACCUUGUCAGUUGAAUGGUCAAACUGACUGGCACGUCCGCGCACACUAUGCGCGCCGAUUUGGAUUCUGCACUGGAGUUAAGCAGAUCUCCCAGGUCCUCAUGUGGUGAUGCAGGGUCCACCACCUUCAGGAUUUUGCGUCAACACAUUUUGGCACGCCUGGUGGGACACGGUUAUAAGGCUCACAUUUUUAUUCAAUAAAAAAGCAUCUUCAGCAGCUGUAUCAUGUUCAUCGGCAUCGGCGUGUUGGAGUUAAUUCAAAUCAAUAUAAUAUUCCAACCAGAAGAGCCGAUGGUACAGAAAGAUGAUCUUAAUUUCAAUCGGCUGCACAUUGUAUAGAUAAAUUUGAUGCUAGAUCAAUUACGGAGGAAACCGAUACAACAUCGACAUCAUCAUUCCUUACUGAUGUUAUAUAUCGGCUAGUUCAGAGGAAACAAGUAUCGGCUGGGCACAUAGUAGCUGUUUUUUAUCAGCCAAAGAAAACAAAGCAUCGGCCGAUGGAAUAUAAUCGGCAAGCAUAGUGGCCGAUGGAAUUAUUUUUUAGCCAAUGGAACUGUUUUUUCAGCCGAUAGAAGUAUUUUUCAGCUGAUGCAACAUUUUUUUAGCCGAUUGGAAAAGCUCCAGCGGGUGGGCAAAAGAGAAAUAAAAAAAAUGCAUCGGCAGUUGUAUCGGCUGAUUGGAAGAAUUAAAAGGGAUCGGCCGAUUGGAAAUUGCAUCGGCUGAUGGAAAAUGGGAUCGGCCGAUUGGAGUUGUAUCAGCUGAUUAAGAAAAAAAAUAACGGCCGAUCAUAGAGAAAGAUAUCAGCCGAUUAGCAUCAGUCAGUUGGAAUUAGAAAAAAAAACAAAGAGAGGCAUCGGCCGAUUAGCGUCAGCCUGUUGGAAUUAAAAAAAAACAGAGAGAGGCAUCGGCCGAUUAGCGUCAGCCAGUUGGAAUUGAAAGAAAAAAAAAACGUGGCAUCGGCCGAUGGAAAAUUAGUUCAGCCGAUUGGGAAAAAAAGAAAAAAAAAAGUGGCAUCGGCCGAUGGAAAAUUGGUAUUGCCGAUUGAAAAAAAUAGAAGAAGGAAAAAGUUGGCAUCGGCCGAUAAAAAAUUGGUUUAGCGGAUUGAAAAUUGCUAAUCGGCUGAUUGAAGAGAAGCAUCGGUGUAUUGGUUAAAAAAAAGUGUAGGGAAGCAUCGGCGGGUUAGUUAAAAAAAAAGCAUCGCCCAGUUGGAAUUAAAAAAAAAGGAAAGGCCAAUUACUACUUUUGUUGGUAAUCGGUCUAGCAAAUUGCAGCCUAGAAUAUAAAUGGUUCGGCCAGGAUGAAUAGUGGCAAGCAUUAAACCGAAGAGCCAGCCGGGGCUAGUUGUGUACACACUGACGAUAGAAAAAUAUAUGAGAUCUAUUGAGUCAUCAGGGACAGCCAAUGACUAAAUUUGCAAGAAUCUCAGCCGAUUGUGUAGUACAAUCAGUCAUCGGCUAUGCCUCAACUCAUGGGAAACUUCUAGCACCCUCAGAUUGGAAUGUACUGGCAGCAGAACGCUGGAGUUCAACUCCAGCCGAUAGGAGGCCACGCACCCCCAGCUUUUGGAGUUCAGCCGAUUGCCCAGUUGCCAAAUCGGCAGGCAGGGGUUUAGCAUCAUGACGGACAUCAGCAGGUUGAUUGGGUGCAUUAGAUAGCCGAUGUGAUUCAGAAUCAUUUCGAUUUGAAACCCAGGGAGCAGGGAGCAGGAGUACAUGCAUCGGCAGCCAUGAAGGAUAUAUAUAUAUAUAUAUAUAUAUAUAUAUAUAUAUAUAUAUAUAUAUAUAUAUAAAGGGGAUAGCCAAUGGAGGAGUCUGACCUGAAAUCAGAUCGGCCACGGAAGGGGUAUGAAGUUCUCCAUUCGUUGUACACUAGGCGACCAUGACGAAAGAAAGAGAAAAAGAAAGGAGCAGUCGGCCGAUUGGGAAAAGAAUUGAUAAAAAAGGAGGAGGCGGUCGGCCGAUGGGCAAAGGAACGAGUGAAAGCAGGGCAAAAGAAAAAAAAAAAGAAAGAAAGAAAUAAGAGAAGCAUCGGCCGAUUGAUUAGAAAAAAAAAAAGAAAGCAUCGGCCACAUUGGUGCGUUGACAAAAGAGAGGGGCAUCGGCCAUUCGUGCGUCUCCUUAUUGAUAAGAAAAAUCGGCCGAUUGAAAAUUGGAUCGGCUGAUCAAAAGUUGUAUCGGCCGAUUAAAAAAAAUUAUAUAUAUAUAUAUAUACAUCGACCGAUUGAAAUAAAGAAAGCAUCGGCUGGCUGGUUCAAAAGAUGCAUCGGCUGACUGGUUCAAAAGAUGCAUCGGCCGAUUGAGAUAAGGGAAGCAUCAGCUAAUUAAAUACAUCGGCCGAUUGGGAUAUAUAUAUAUAUAUAUAUAUAAGGGUAUCGGCUAAUUGAAAAAAUUGCAUCAGCCGAUUGAAAAUUGGAUAGGCCGAUUGAAAGUUGUAUCGGCUAAUUAAAAAAAUGCAUCGGCCGAUUAACUGCUUGGCAAAAGGCAUCGGCCGAUUGCUUCGGCCGAUUGAUUGCUUGGCGAUAAGCAUUGGCUGAUUGCUUGGCCAAUAAAAAAAUUCAGCUGAUUGGAUCAAGGAAAAUAGUAUCGGCUGCUUAUAAAAUAUAUUGGAUAUUAAUUUCGAAGCAUGAAAUAUUCAUACUUCGAAACUGGGGGGCCUGUGUUGACAACAAAAGCUUGCUAGUUACUGCACCAAGUUUUGGUGUCAAUAGACUGAUCUGUUGUUUCUACUGCCGGCAAUGCCGAUGGUGUUCUUUAUAUUUGAAGAGGAGUCGACGUGGCUUUGGAUAUUGCAAUCAGACGUCAUUAGCUCUAAAGACAAGUAUCAGACUUCUAUAAUUAGUUUCGGAACAUGAAGCAUUCAUACUCCGAAACUGGGGGGCCUGUGUUGACACCGGAUUUUGACCAAUCCUAUAAAUUCGGAGUACAAGAUAAUUGGAGUCACGUACAACAAUAAGAAGCUAGCAUGCGUGUAUAUGGGCACGGAGUCCAAAUCGGCUUCAUUGGAUUGAUCGGCAAGGAGAGGCAAGGAUGAUAUAAAGGAAUGGCCAGCACGUAUGGAUAAAAAUGAUUAGAAUAUACAAUAUGGAUUCUGGUGCACUUUGCAUGCCAUGCGUGGGAGGCUUCCAGAAUAAUUAUUCAUGCCGAUCUGUGCAUGUACGGGAGGUUGUUUCAUAGAAUAAAAUAUUUUAGAGAUAGAGUUGGGUUAGUUAGAGAUAGAGUUUUUUAUUAGAAAAGAUUGUGUACGUGACUUGCCUUGUGCGUGGUUAGAUGCCAAUUAUGUAACGUCCGCCCUAUAAAUAUAAAGGGACGUGGCCAUUGUAAAGAAUCAUCACACGAUCAAUAAACAAACAUAUUUACCUUUACCUUUCGGCUCCACGCCAUUUCCCUAGGAGUAGGAGUAAUGUAGUUUCUCGACGAGUUCCUUCUAGCAAGCUGGGCUGCAUCGACCUCGAUCUCCGGCGAGCUGCAAGUUCCGUCACCAGGUGUUCUAGGCUUUAACCACCGGGCGCAUUGCUGUGGUUUCUUCUAGUUUCAUCUACUAGUUAUCGAGUAUCUUGGAUCUUUGACUUACGGCGCAUCGCUUCUAUCUCGAUCUACGGUAUUUACCAGUUAUCCCGCCUUGAUUAAGCUUGCAUCGGCUGAUAUUUGUCUGUUCUAUCAUCUUGCCGUUUACGACAUAUUAAUUGUUAUUAAUUCUGUCGGAAUAGACGAUAGAUCUAUUCUUAAUAGCCUGUUGCAUCUUAAUCUUGGUUACCCUUUCGAGUGCUGUUGGGAUUAAGUUUCGUUAUGAUUGGAUUCAUCGGCUGGCGAGGUUCAGAUUAACAUCCUACUAAAUAUUUCUAGACUGCAACUACCGGGCGCAUCGCUGUGGUUUCACCUAGAGAUAUUGGUGGAGAGUUUAAUUUAGAUCUUAUCGGCUUGUAACUCUAGCUAUGGUGGAGCAGCAGCUCAACAGCAUCCUGUUUUCUAUCAGCCGUCUGGCUGAUGGUUAUUGUAAAUUAUAUUAAAUCGGCCCGAUCGGCCGACUCCAUCGAACUUCGAGAGAAUUAUCUCCACCUUGUCAGUUGAAUGGUCAAACUGACUGGCACGCCCGCGCACACCAUGCGCGCCGAUUUGGAUUCUGCACUGGAGUUAAGCAGAUCUCCCAGGUCCUCAUGUGGUGAUGCAGGAUCCACCACCUUCAGGAUUUUGCGUCAACACAACCCAUACCUAUUGCACUUUUUCAACUGCCACAUAAAUGUUGAGGUAUGCUCAAGCAUUAAAGCCGUUAAGUAUCUGUUCAAAUACAUCUACAAGGGACAUGACCGGGUCUCUGUAUCUGUAACUGGAGCAGAUGCUGAAGGAGAAAUUGAUGAAAUUAGACAGUACAGAAACGCACGGUGGGUUACACCUCCAGAAUUAAGCAUGCAAGUGCUAAGAGCCGAUAUAUAUCUUUGACUCUAUUGGAAGUGUUUGAAGUGAGCAAUACAUCAUUUUAUAUAAAUCCAAUCCAUUUGAUCACAUUAAAAUUCAUGAGACAAGUCUCUCUGUCCCCGUUAAGUCAUAUAUGAAGGGUCAAAACAAACAGGUAUAAAAACAUUGACUAGUACAUAAACCGUAUGUAUAAUUGGUGGUAUGUUUGCCGGUAUGUAAAAGUUAUAUUGUUUAUGCGGAUCUAUCUACUUAUACCUAUAGUAAUCACAGAUGCUCUAGAAAAUCCCACGUCAACGAGAAAGAGAAAAUAUCUAGCCAUUGAUCCAUCGUGGCCCCCUUUUUUUAGCCGUUCAGAUUUAAAACAGUACAAUUAGUUAUUAGUUACUUGCAUUUGGUUAACUUUGCUAGGUUGUUCUAAGGAUAAUAGGUGCAAAUGGACAGUGGGGCCACUGGUGGACGUGCGUUCCUUGACAGAGCAUGCCUACACGAGAACUAAGGAAGACCGGCUGUGUGGACGUGGAGGAUGUGAUAUUACACGAUGCUGGAACAUGGACGGUUGCCACGUUAAUCCUCGGGUACAAAUUAGAAUUCAUUACAAUUUUUAGGAAAAAUAUGUACGGAUGUAUGAUCCGUUAGAGGAAAAGUGAAUAGGACGGACCAAAAUGUUGGAUCCUUUGUUGGAAAAAUGGUUUGAAUUUUGGCAAUGUGAGUAAGGAUUUCCUUUGUUUUGAGAGAGAGCCAAAUAGAAUUACAUUAUUUGUUAAUGUUCGUCUCAUAUUGAUUUUCAAUCUUAAAAAAAUGAUGCACUAUUUCAACUACAAUCACAUUAAGCGAAACAUAAAAUUCGAUCCAUCUUGGCCUCUCGAGCUAUGUGAGUAGGAGAACAGCAUAGCAAAGAUAAACGAUCUAAUUAAUCUUCCUAGGAAGAGCUUUGAACUCUUGGAAACAACAAAAUGAAAUCAUGCAAUUCGAUUGGCAAAGUGACAAUACAUCAUCGGUACAAUGAUCAAAAAUAGCGAUUCUUGGCGAGGUACAAAUGUAUGAUCCAUUGUUGGGAAAGCAAAUAAGACGGACUAAACUUUUUGUCACAUUGAUUUUCAGCCACUAAAAAAAGCGAUGAGGUAAGAUAGUCAUUUGUUUCUAAAUACACAGUACAACAUAGUCAUUGUUUCUAGUCCGUUGCGGUGCGGUGAGAUAAGAAUAAAUAAUCACAUGACAAGACAUGGCAUGGCAGGCUAUGACGCAACAUCAUGACUAGGGAACACCAAAAGCACCAAGGAAGAUGAACAGAUUCUUGCCGAUGUCCCAUCAUAGAGCAAAUAAAGCAGGAUAAAAGGGGAUUGAUCUUCGAACUAGAAAAUAGGGGAUCGAUCUUUCCAUUGAUCUUACAAAUAAAAGAUAACAGCAUAGCAAAGAUGGCCAGGGUUCCAACAAAAUCUAAAUCUAAAAUUACUAAUUAACAGCAUAGCAAAGAUAACAGCUGGCCAGGGUUCCAACAAAAUCUAAAUCUAAAGUUAUUAAUUAACAGCAUAGCAAAGAUAACAGCAUUGAUCUUCCACUAGCGCGGCUUGCUCACUCCAUUCACCCCUCAUUCCCGGCCAUGACGUGGUGGCGGCUCCACUUCUUAUGGUUCUCGCCCCUCAGGGGGUGGACCCAGAAUGUGGUCCUUGACCUCAUUCAGGAUCCCCCACCGAUGCCUCGUUCCAGGGUAGACAGGGCACGCGAAGGUGUUGUCAGCGCGGUGAAAGACGCGUAGAGCAUCACCCCGGGGGAAGGGCGUGUGGUAGUCGCGGCGCCAGUCGUCAGAUGAGUCCGUCAGUUUGGGAGUCGGAGUCGAACCCAUCAGCUGGAAGGGUCACAAUCAAGGUCAACUCUUGAUGCGGUGAUGAGGGCGUGAGGGUGGAGGAAGCCGCCCCCACUGUCGGAGGAGCCCGGGAACGCACCGGGGAGCCCACAAUAGCUCCGCAGCGACCAUCCACGAGCGAUAGCAGGUUGAGGUCGGCGGCGUUGGAGCGCGAUCCCGACGACGAGUGCAAUGGCCACCCAAGGUCACUGGCGUCAGAGUGGGAUACCGACGAGGAAGCACCGCCGUAACGGGACGACCCCACUGCGUGGACGUAGCGCCAUAGCGCUGCCGUGAAGUUGCGGGCAGUGGCGCGGCAGUAGCACGGCGACAACCCGCCACAGGAGCACGACGACGAUGAGGGGGACCUUUAGUCCUGAAUGAUUAGUUUCGGUUGAUUUUUCGAGAGAUACGAGGCUUACCAAGCAGAACUAAUGCUCAUAUUUUCCAGAACCAAUGCUCAUAUUUCCACUAGUGAGUGCAAGGUUCCCUCGACGCAUAAGACGAUUUAUCCACCGUGGUUCCUAACCACAAGUAGAAAUGCACACAUUUACUAGGGGCGGUUCCUUAAGAGAAGUGUAUUUUCCAGGGGCAGUUCCUUAAGAUAAGUACCGAUAGAAAUCUGGCAGUGUUCAGGUACAGUGCGCGAAAGCAACUGCUAGUGACUGUAGAUAACGAUAUCCAUCGAUAGAAAUAAAGGCUAGUAUCACAUCUAAAAACUAGCUUUGAUAUUCAGCUCAGAUCCGUGCCUCUAACUUUUCGUGCUCAUUAUAUAAAUCAUAAAUUUCCUAAAAAAUUAACAAAAUCGUGCAUAAAAAUCCAGAAUGUUUAUCAAAAGGUAAGAUUCAAAUCAGUGGUAGAUGUUCAGGAUUAAAUACUUUCUUACUCCACAUAUUUUUGUUAGGUGAGGAGGCAUUGCAAGUUUGCAACUGUUGAAUGAAAUACUUCUCGUUGUAUCAUUGUGCAUGUACAUUAAGUUCUGGAGGCUGAGAAAUUACCCGUUGUACCCCAUGGACUGGCCGGUUGUGGGCAUGCUCCCUUCCCUCGUUGCCAAUCUCCACAACUUCCACGACGAACUCACUGUCGUCCUUGCCACCAACGGGUGUAACUUCAAGGCGCGAGGGCCGGUAGCAAGUGGCAUGCGGUUCUUCGUCACCGCUGAACCGGCAAACGUCCGGCACAUCUUCACCUCCAACCAUGCAAACUACCCCAAGGGCGAGGAUUUUGCUGAAAUCUUCGACAUCUUUAGCGGCACCAUCUUCACCAUUGAUGGUGAGGCCGGCCGCCAGCAUAGAGCCAUGUUCCAGAACAUCUUGAGCAAUCCACGGUUACUUGCCUUGAUGGCAAGUUGCUGCCGUGACAAGGUGGUGAACGGACUCCUCCCGUUCUUGACCCGCAUGGGCAGCACCAGGACAACGUUCGACAUGCAGGAUUUGAUCACAAGGUUGGUGUUCGACCUUACUGCCACGCCGAUCUUCGGUGUCGACCCGGGUUGCCUGUCCAUCAGCAUGCCGUCUAUCCAUGUUGCAACCGCCAUGGACACGUUCAUGGAGGUCGGCUUAUUCCGGCACACCAUGCCGGCUUGUUUCUGGAAGGUGAUGAGACGGCUAAACAUCGGUCCAGAGAGGAAGCUGGCCAUGGCGGAAACAGUGAUGCAUGCUUUCAUCAGGGAGAUGACUGAGAAGUCGAAAGCCAGGUGCGCCGAUCUCCUUGAUGAUGUGUUGGCCAUGGACAUUAUUUCUGCUAACCCAUCAGUGGGCAGAGACGAUGUCCUACUACGUAAUGUACUCAUCGUUCACAUGAUCGCCGGGCGGGACACGGUUGGUACCACGCUACCGUGGGUAUUCUACAACCUCGCCAGGAACCCCCGUGUGGUCUCUUGCAUCCGCAAGGAACUGGCACCCAUCGCAUCGCUCAAGGCCACUGCUCUCGCCUCCAAUAGCAUCAGCAGUGUGGUCGUCUUUGAUCCAAAGGAGACUGAACACCUAGUCUACCUUCAGGCAGCCUUAUUGGAGUCGCUCAGGUUGUACCCACCAGGCCCGAUCGAGCGCAAGGUGGUGCUAGCCGACGAUGUGCUCCCAAGUGGUCACCAGUUGUGCUCCGGUGAAACCAUCCUGAUCUCCAUCUAUGCCAUGGGUAGAAUGGAAUCCCUGUGGGGCAAGGAUUGCCAUGUGUACCGUCCGGAGAGGUGGCUGUCCGAGGACGGUGCUAAACUGCGUUACGUGCCGUCCAAUAAAUUCAUGGCGUUUAACACAGGGCCGAGGAUGUGCCUUGGCAAGGACAUAGCAAUUGCGCAGAUGAAGACCAUCGUUGCCGCGGUGGUGUGGAACUUUGAUAUGGAGGUGUUGGAAGGGCAGAGCAUCGAGCCAAAGCUGUCGUGCAUUCUUCAAUUGAAGAACGGGCUCAUGAUGAUGGUUAAGCAGAGAGAGUAAUCAAUGUGACAUGGAAUAAGCUAGGUGCAAUGCAACUACAGAUCGACUCAGUCCUGGCAUAUAUGGUUUGAACAAAAUAGUUAAAUCCAAACUUAUAAUGAAGUAAAUGGAGGCGUAACAUGUAUUUUCGUCAUUAAAUAAAGUCUACGGACGCCGUCGUUUGGCCAUCUGAAAGCUGGGACCAUACCCAACUACAGACUCUUUGAUUUCAGUACCGAUAGUUUGUACUACUCCCUCUUUCUAAAUAAGUGAUGUUUUCAGAUUAUCUUAAGCUUAUUUGAAACUUUGAUGGCAUAUUAAUUGUUUUUCUAUGUGUAAAAGGUUUGGAUAAAUUUAUACGAGUAUAUUUAUGUUUAAUAGUAACUUCAUCAAAAGCAUCCGUUCACUUUAUGAAUAUUUUGUAACAAAAACUAGCCAUCACAGUUAUGUUUUUGAGGUAAUUUCAAUAUCAAAAACUUCAUUUAUGAGACCGGAGGAACUACAUACAAAUACAAUGAAUGUAAAUAUAAUAUGUCCUCCGAUGUCCUGGACUUCAUAAGUUGUAUCUGCAAUACUUAAGAGUGAAACCAAAGAGGGCGAUGUCAAUUUGAGUGUAUCUAAAGAGACUUAAAACAUUCAAACGAUGAAUAUAAAUUGUAUCAAAUUAUAGUCCCUAUUAUACUUAUGUAAUUAGUACAAUUUAUUUAAGUUGGAACAUACUUGUUUUUACCGUGUCUUGAUCCAAGUGCGCAUGUGGGUUUUGCAUGUUUUUCCUGGCAGGAGGCACCCUUGGUUACUAAUGCGGUGUCUGGAACCUUGGUUACUCCUUUUUAUUGAUUUCCUUCCUUAAGCUACCUGAGCACCCUAGAAUAGUGAUGGGCUGCCAAGGUAUUGGAUCAAAUGAAUUCAGACACCUCUAUGUAUUUAAGGUAUUGGUGUGAGUAGCGUGUAACGACUGAUUCUGUGCUGAGUCGUACCAACCAUAUCGAGGCUUUGUGCACGCUAGCUCAUUCAGGGUGAAAGUCUGCCCCGUCCGUACAUGAUAAGCUCGAGAGUCGAGACAUUGAUUCGGCAGCUGCCGUACGUGUAUGUUUUUGUCCUUCCAUUUGCUGUACGUGUACGUGCUCGUUCCGUUGGUGCUGUGGACGGAGAGCGGCUACUUAGACAUGGACUUCUGCCGAAUCCGCAUGAUGGACAACGACAACCAGGCCCUCGACGCCGUCUUGCCCCGCGAUGAGAACGGCUGCGGCGUGCGAGACGGCACGGCCAUGACGAUCACAGAGGAGAUCUACUGGAGCGACGAGGCCAACAAGACCUGCGACGGGCUUUACGCCGAGCUCACCUGCCGCGUCUACUUCAAGGCCCACGAAGGCUUCAACCUUACCUUGCGCGACGGUGCCAUCUGCCUCUUGCCCACCGACGCCGAUGUCAAGUACCAGCACCAGCACUGGAUCUAGACCCACCUUACGCCGGCUCCCUUCCUCCUCCCUCCCUCCUUUCUUCUUCCUCCAGACCCACCCGAGCCCGGGGUUUUUGGGCCCCCCCCCCCCCCCCCCGCCCCCAAAUCCACCCAAAAUCCGGCGAUUUCGGUGGGGGAAAGUAGUGGAAAUCGAUCCCUGCUUCGUGUGGAAGGUAUUCCCCUACUUUUUCUCGUGUUUUACCGUUGCAUUUGGUAGAUCGCAGGAUGUUUAGGUGAUUUAGGGUUAGGUAGAUGAUUUCAAUUUUGAAUGAAAUGCAAUGGUGUUUUGUGUUAGAUGAUACGUAGUUCAGACGCAAUUGAGUCUCUGCCCGCGAUAUUGACGUGUAGAACUUGUCGAUUUAGGUAUAUAUUCAUUGAAUUGUGUAGUUGAUAUGACAUGUAUAUUUUUUGUUUGCAAUUUGUCCAAUAUGUGUAAUGUGUCUAGUUGAUAUGUUGAAUAUGUGCAAUGUGUAGUGUAUAUGACAUGGUGAAAUGUUUGUAUUUUGUAGAUGGAUCGUUUAGUUCGUUUUUUUCAUGGUGGUGUUGUGAAACAAAAUGGGGAGUUAGAGAAUAUGAAUGAGUCAAUUGCAUUCUUCGAGGGUCCUCCAAGUUUUAGUGAUUUAGUUGACCGUGUAAUGAGGAAGUAUGGAUGUAGAGUGGAUGAGAUCAGUUUGAGAGGUCGUUUUGAUUGUGGGAAAGCUAGAGCUCAUUAUGUUCUCAUGAAGUUAGCAUCCGAUGCGAAUUGGAAGCACUAUAAGGAUGUAGUUCACGAAGCUAAUGUUGCAUGUUUGGAGGUGUUGACGCCAGAUUUUGACACGUAUGAAAUCGGCGUCAGGAAAGGAAGAAAUCAAGAGAUGCGGCAAGACACGGAGGUCACGAUUGUAUUACUCUAGGGAGCACACCGUCAAAAUAUGGGAAUCAAGCUUUCAACCUUACCUUGAUCCGUCACAAUGGCCGGCAUAUGAAGGGGUAGGGUACGUGCCUAACCCCAAUUUGAUGAGAAAUAAAGUAGGAAGGAGGCAGAAGAAGCGUUUCACAGGUGACAUGGACGUGUCGGAAGAGAGGUUUUCUGCAGAUUAUGGCACUGGUGAUUUUGAUGUGGACAAGUCGGAAAAUCGUUGCUCGAAGUGCCCCAAGAUCAUUAGGAAUUACACGUGCCGCAAUAGAAAAAUCUAAAGGCACGAAAUCUAGGGGGAAUAGUAAUAGUCCGCGUUCUUCGAACAAUAGGGUAUGCGCGUUGCUUGUAUUUUGCAUGGUUAUCAUUUUAUCUUUUUUUUAUAGUAGUAAAUUAUCAUAGUUACCGUACUUAUCAUAUAAUGAAGCUUUUUACUAACGAUCUUGUUUGUUGUUUCUUUAGGAUGGCGGCCCUGGCGUACCCUCUUCUUGAGUCGGCUUACGGCUUGCAGCACCGUGCCCACCACCUCGCGGACCUAAAUGAGGUACUACAUCAGUUAUUAACAAUGGUUGGUAAUUUAUGCUAAUGAAUGCAUACCUUAGGAUGAUAAUUGCAAGAUUUUUGUAUGAAAUGUUCUUACAAAUUGAGGAUGUGCCUGUCGUUACUAUUUGCUUGUGUACAAUGUAAACAAUUUCAUACUGGAAAUGUCAUUUAUAUCAUAUUUGUGUUACUUACCACUUUAGUAGCCCUUUAUUCUCAAAUGCAUUGACUUCUCAUUUUUGUAAUAAUCUUAUAAUGUUUUGCAGGAUUUGAAACCACUCGGGGCUAAAGUGCACUCACCACUUAGGUGGGAUGAGCGGUACGCGGAGUACUUGCAGAGAGCUGGUUUUUUGGAUCUCGCUGUUCAGGUUGUCGCGGGUCUCCCUCCAAUGGACGGACCGCUGUUGACCUCUAUGGUUGACAGGUGGCGUCCGGAGACUCACACGUUCCACCUCCCGUUCGGAGAGAUGACCAUCAUAAUGCAGGAUGUCACUAUGAUACUCGGUCUUCCACUGGAUGGGCAGCCAGUGACGGGAAUUAUACAGAAUGAGAAUUGGCAUGAUAUGGUUGAAAUGCAUAUUGGGAUUAGGCCGCCAGAGCCAGAGGACGGAGACAACUCCAAGAAGACCUCCGGUGUCAGCUCGGCAUGGUUGAGGGAGCACUUCAACGUUUGUCCUCCGGGAGCAAAUGACGAGGUUGUGCAGCGAUAUGCUUGAGUUUGGCUAUGGCACUUUGUUAGCACAUUCCUCCUCCCAGAUGCAGCUGGGAAUACAGUGUCUUGGAUGGUUCUCCCCAUUUUGGGUCAGCAUUAGGACAACAUAGCCCUUUACAGUUAGGGCUCAGUGGUUCUUGUCUGGCUGUACAGGCAGCUAUGUGAGGCUUGCAGGCGCACCAUGAGGGAUUCCAAUGUUGGAGGGUGCACCUAUAUGCUGCCGAUUUGGAUUUGGGAGCGAAUGCCCGUGGGUUGACCUUCCCGUCUCCGUGUCGAUGUAAGUCACAACGGCUAAUUCCCUUUUCUGCUUUAAUGUUCGGAAAACUGUUGUAUCAUGUGACUAAUUGGACUUACUUGCAAUUUCAGCAAUGGCAUCAAGACGAUGCUCAUCCCACAUUCUAUCAUGUGUGGAAGCAUGUGCGGCCCGUUCGUGGCAAUCCUGAUAGGCGCUACAGGGCCUACACAAACGAGUUUGAUGUUGUCACGCAGUACCAGGUAAUUUGCUCACCAAAGUUUGUUAAGCUCACUUCCGUAUAAUGAUAGAUGAAAUAAGUAUUGUGUAAAAAUUUUUGAAGGUUGAAUGGAAACCGUACGACCGUGAGCAGCUAAGCCACAUCGUAUUUUCACCGAUGUGCUACAGAGAUAGAGAGCUGUGGAGGUGCACGACGCCAAUGAUAUUGUACUACGCCGUAGAGUUUCAUAUGCCGCAUAGGGUGAUGCGGCAGUUUGGGAGGAUGCAACCGUGCCCUCCUUUGAAAUUAUCGACUUCGCAGCAGCUGCACAGGUAUGCAGGAAUAAAUAACUAUUGGAGGUUAUUCGAUACACGAACUGAACAUGUUAUACUAAUACUUCACUAAUCUCUGAUGCAGGAUCGACCGCAGAAAGAGGUAUAAGGAGAAUGAUUGGAGGGUGAAGCAUGGUCAGUACCUCGUCAUGUGGGAGAAUAAGCAAGGAUGCGAUCCUGAAGGUGGACCGUACUGGCGACCAGGACCAAACAAUGAGUACAUACGAUGGUACUGUACUUCGACGAGAACUAAAGUGAAACCAUCUUGGAGUAAUGUGCCCAUUGAGGAUGCACCGUCUGACUUAGACGCCGACACAACUGAUGCGUACGACAUGGUGACACGCUAUGGGACACAGCCUGAGCGUGCACCUCUCCACGACUACAUGGUAAGAUUUUGGUUUGUAAUCAUAGUAUCAUAACAUUGAUCACUCAUGGAAUGAAAACUAUGCAUACAGGGACAGCAGCUUGCAAGGCUCUCAAACAAGGCGGGUGUGGUUAUGGAGCACGCCGUCGGAUCCGGUGAUGGUCUGCUUCGUCAGUUUGCAGAGGUAGAAGCCCAACCUAAUUUUCACUUAUACUCAUACUACCUCUGUAACCCUAUCAAUAUCAUAGUCGUGAAUAUAUGCUGCUUACAUGUUGCAGAGGGUUCGGAAAAACUGCAGGCGAAUGGCCAUGAGGAUGAACUGCAUGUCGUCCUCAGAUGUGCACCACGGGGGCAAUGGCCAGGGUACUUCUUCGGGAUCACGUCGGACUCCAUUGGUGACUCCCCCCAAGGCUGCAACACCGUCCACCACUGCAGGUCCUAGCAGGAGAUCACGAGGCAAGGAACCCGCAUCCCCUCAGGCAAGCGAGGACUCUGAAGGUGAGCAGUCUGAGGAUGACGACCCUACAUAUGGUGAGGAACUGGAGAUUUCUGGCAUGAUCGAUGCUCCACCUGUGACUCAGACACAGGGUGAGUCCAGCCAGGUACAUUCACAAAUUUCCCCAAAUUCAAUUCUAGAUUGUUAAUGUUCACUCCCGAAGUGUCAUACAAAUUUUAUGCUUUGUGCCCAAUUAUUCCAUAGGAACCUGCACCUCCUACCCGGAUGCCACGCCGGCGGUGUCGUUCCCGGGACCACACCGAUGUUGGCAGCGCCAAUGUGCUGCCCACGCAUGCAAGGAGGGAGCAUCGCCCAAGAGAUCCUAUUAACCCUCCGGUUGAGCGGCGGUCACGACACUGAACGUUACAUGUCUCAAGUGUGAUGCACUAGGUGUACAAUUUAUGUUAUAUGUGUGUGCAAGACUAUUGGAACUGUCACGUGUGUAAAAGACUAAGUUGGUUGUUAGGUUUAUUUCUGUCACGUGUGUAAAAGACUAAGUUGGAUGUUAGGUUUAUUUCUGUCCGUACAAUGUUAUAUGUUUGCUCCAUGACAUACUUGUGUUUCGUGUAUUUUUUCGUAAAUGUUCGCACUGGUAGGCUAUCGCGUACUAGACGAGAUACGGAAUAAUUUCGUGGUUCAAACUAGUUUAAGAAAAAUCAGAACAAAAAAAGCUAUUUAAGUUUCAUCAGCCGGAUUGCUGGGGCAGCUGAGUUGGCGGAAGUCUAGCAGCCCAGAAACCUACUGAAACUUUAAUGGAUUUGGCGCGGGAGGGCACCCCUGCCACGCCAGGCGGAGUGGCGCGGCAGCCCCCAUCCACCAAAACCUACUGAAAACUUUGUGCAAUUGGCGCGGCAGCGCACUCUUGCCGCGCCACUCUGCUUGGCGUGGCAAGCCCCUUCCCCCCCCCAAAAAAAAACCUACUGAAACUUUGUUUCGCUUGGCGCGGCAGCGCACUCCUGCCGCGCCAGGCGGAGUGGCGCGGCAAGGCCCGCCCCCCCGGAACCUACUGAAACUUUGCCAAUAUACCACACUUGCAUCUAUCACUAGGAGAGGACACACAUGGCCACGGUGCCUUUCCACUCUCGAACUCCCGCACUUGCUCCUCCGUUGGCCACAUUGCCAUUGGACCGUAUAUAUACUCAUUGAAAUCACACAACGGCCACGCAUCCUGCAAAAAAACGGUGACGUGAACUACUCAUACGUAAAGUAACUAGAAAACGCUGCUCCAACUUCCAAGCAAUAACAUCAAGUAAAAGUAUGAACAAUAUACUGCAAAAUUAUAACUGCUAGCUACACGACAUACUAAUAUUCUCAUACUAAACUUACAUGAGUCUUUAGCAAGCAUCGAAAGAAUGGAGUAAACUUAGGUGGAUCCUCUAAGUUAGGACGCAUAAGCUUAGCAGGAACACCACACUUGCAUAUGGGAGGAUCCCUCACACGCCUACAAGCAGCCUCCUGCUUCUCCUCCUCGGUCAUCCUAGGUGGGUUUGGUGGAGGAGGAACCCAACGCCUAAAUUGAUGGUAUGGUUUAAGCUCUGUACUAUGAUAUGGGAAUAGGCGGAUCCUAGGAUCAUAUUUGUCGGGUCCAUCAAUCUACUGAAAGAAAUCACAAGGUGCGGCAGGCAUUGGAUCAAAAGUCCACUUGCAUACAUAGAAGGCUCUUCCGGCUGUCUUUGGAUGACUUGAUUGUUUCACCUCUGCUUGCACGCCACAUCUACAAAGAGGUACCGGAAGGGCAGGAGGUACGGGACCAGCACCAUUGGACUCGCCCACAUAACGAACAUACCACCUACGCCGCUUGUAUUCACAACCAAACGACAUCAUCUCACCUAGACAUCAAGUGCCACAAAAUUAAUACACAAAUAAACUUUACACAUGUAAUCCAAACGAGCUAUAUACAACAUUUCGAUAAAAUGUAAACACUCCAUCUAUACAAUACAAACACUGAAACAUAUCAACUAUAGCAACUAUAUUAAGGAACAAAAAUAUGAGACAAAUUAAUUGAACAUAUAAAAAAAAUACAUGUCAUGUAAACCACACAAUUGGAUGAAUAUAUACCUAUAUCGAAAUAUUCAACAAGUUCUACACAUCAAUAUCGCGGGCAGAGACUCAAUUGCGUCUGAACUACGUAUCAUCUAACACAAAACACCAUUGCAUUUCAUUCAAAAUUGAAAUCAUCAACCUAACCCUAAGUCACCUAAACAUCCUCCGAUCUACCAAAUGCAACGGUAAAACAUGAGAAAAAGUAUGGGGAUACCUUCCACACGGAGCAGGGAUCGAUUUCCACAACUUACCCCCACCGAAAUCGCCGAAUUUUGGGUGGAGUUGGGGGUGGGGCGGCGGGGGGCAGCGCAACAAGCUAAGGGCACUGGUCUGUCUGGAGGAGGAAGAAAGGAGGAAGGGAGGAGGAAGGGAGCCGGCGCGCUGCUGUAGCGUAGGCUCUGCCGCGCCAGCCGCCAGGCGCCCGCCCACGUCAGCGCGCACCUGGCGCGGCGAGUCACCGCGCCAGCGUGGCAAGGCCCACCGCGCCAGUGCAUGCGACGCGGCAGAGGCUGCCUGCCGCGCCAGGCGGUCUGGCACGGCCAAAAGGGUUAUCUGCCGCAAAUAUAGUCCCGCGGAGGUUAUUUUUAAAAUAAAUAAAAAAAGGUUAAAAAAAAAGAGAACAAAAAGAAUCAAGUCAGAUUACGGAGAGGUUCGAGUGACUUAAUUUAUUAAAGGACCACUUCACUGGACGGAUCUCCUAAUAUCCAACCUAAUUUUAAUUAUGAAAUAAUUGAAGCAUAUCGAUCUGUCAUGAACAACAAUUAUAUCAGGAUUGAAUUAGAAGCCACUGUUGAAAUUGCAAAUGACCAUCAACCAAACCUUAUUAUUAUAAGAUAACAGUAGUAAAACUGGCUUCUUUUUUCUUGUCUGUAAGAUGCUCUACUGGUGUAUCAUCAUAAGAAAAAAAUCCUAAGAAUGGUAGUGAAGAUGAGCAGUAGUACCAGAGGUCGAUUUACCUAUUUGAUAGCCCUUUGCCACCUGUAGAGCUCUAGUGCACUGAUUGUUUCCUUCUGUGUUUCAUCCUGGGCAACAACAGGAAAAUUGUCAAAGGAUCAUAAAUAAAAACAAACACACAAUGCAUGUUGUUAAUAUUACUAUUGGAAAACUAAUAAAAUGUCAAGCAGUAGUAAUUUCAAGUGGCAAUAGCAGGAAAAUUGUCAAAGGAUGAUAAAUAAAAACAAACACACAAUGCAUGCUGUUAAUAUUAAACUCUAAAUCUUUGGAUUUCAUUCCAUCAUCUUGACUUUCCAAUAUCACAACAUCAUUUGAAUUUUCUUCAGUGACAUGAUUUUGUACAGAAUUGAUACCAAUUUCUGCUGUGUUUGUUUUUCUCAUGCACUGGAGUCACAAUCACAAGUCAUUGAUGCAAAUGAAAAGAGAAGGAAAAGAGAUAGAGAGCGUUAUGCCCAAAUGACAGAUGAAGAAAAGCAGGAUAAACUGAAAAAACAACGUGAAGCCUAUCAUAGAAGGAAAGGUAGAGAUGCAACACGGUACCAAAAAAAUACGCAAAAGAGAGACAGAAAUAUGCAAAUAUGCAGCUAGAACAAAAGAAAGCUAGAAUAGAACAAGCCAUAACUAACCGUGAAAUGAGGAGCAGCAAAACAACGAAAGGUUCAAUUGCAAUGGAGAAUCCUGCAUAUAUUGAAACAGAUAUGUUAGUUGAAGUCAGUACAUCUAGCCUUAAUGUUAAACACAGGAAACAUGUGACGCCAGGAGAAAGGCAAACAUUGCUAGCCCGUCAAAAUCAAAAAAUCAUAAAAAAACAAAAGGGGACAGUUUAUUCAUCAUCAGAAGAAGAUGAAACCAUGAGCGAAGAGGACAAUGACAUAGAAAUGCAAAAACAGGCAAAAAUCAUGAAUCUCGGUAAUAUUCUAAAUUCUAAACAAAACUUUCGCAUUUCAAUACAAUAUAUGGAAUACUUUAACAUUUGAAUAGACUACAUACAUCCAUAUAUUGUACUAACAAUCUCAAUCAAACAGAAAUACCCUCUUCAGUAUGGACAACCAUAGAAGGCAUUGAUGCCCCAAAACAACUAACAAAUGAUGAAGAUAAGGGUAAGGUUAUCAACUCCAAAGUAAAUUCUCACAUGAUACAAAAGAAACAAAAAUAUGUAUUCACAAAAAUCUGUACAGAUAAUGAUGGAGUGAUAUUUGAACAACACACGAACGAGGAUGAUUACAUGUUCUCAUGUCAAGGUAUGCUUCAAUACUUUUAAAAAAAUCCUUCCAUCAUUAUGUUAAUACUUUCCUAAAUUUUUUAUAUAAAAAAAAUUCAACAAAAUUGGACACAGAUGUAGAUAUCGAAGUCAGAGAAGAUGAAGAAACUGCUACAACGAUCUCAGAUCCAUAUGACAUUGUCUACAGCAACAUACCAGACGACACAAACAUGCUGAAAAAUAAAGAAAAUUGCAUAUACUGUAAUGCAAAGAAAUUUGAGUACGAAUCUGAGGGGUUAUGCUGCAGAAAAGGACAGAUUAGAUUAGCCAAUCAAGAGACACCUCCUGAACUCAUGAGACUUUGGACAAGCAACGAUUCUGAUGCAAGACAUUUUCGGAACAAUAUAAGAUUUUUCAAUGGACACUUCUCAUUUACAUCUCUUUAUUGCCACCUAGACAGUGCGACCACUAACAUGAAAAAAGCUGGUAUUUACACCUUUCAUGUAUCACAAUAUACAAUCAUUUGGAAAUAGUCGCUCAGAUCCAAAGCAUCUAGAGUUGUACUUCUACGACGAUGAUCCAAGCCUAGAGCAUUAGUAUCGAUGUUGCCGUGAAGAAAAGUACAAGAAAGACAAACAUGUAGUCACAAUUUUAACACAAAUUCUACGUGAAAACCCAUACUCUAAACAGUUUAGAAGUUUGGGACAGAAUGAAAAACUUGAUGACUACAGGCUGAUCUUGAACCUUGACCAAAGAUUAGACCAAAGAACAUACAAUGCACCAAUAACUUUAGAGGUAGCUGCAGUGUGGAUCGAGGGAAAUGAAAGAAGAAAUACCUUUGACAAGAAUGUAAUACUACAUGGAAACAACAACGAAAUACAAGGCAUCAAAUCAUACUAUGGCUGCUAUGAUCCAUUGUCUUAUCCUCUAUUCUUUCCAAGAGCUGAACUCGGUUGGCAUUGAAAUAUCCCAAGGGCCAAUACAAUAUUGGAAGAAUUGAGAAAUGAUAAUGUUGAUCGCAACAAUAGUGACAACGACCCAGGUUAGAAUUUCAUAUACUUUUGUCUUCUAAAUUUAGUUUACUAAUAUGAAACAACUACAUAAAUAUUCCUCUAACUUUAGCGUUCCAAUUCUUACACAGAUUCAAGCCGUAAGCUGUGGGUAACCAUGAGAGAAUAUUACUGCUAUAAAUUCCAUGCAAAACCAAGCAUAUUCAACCCAAUAUUGCAUGGUGGUAGACUUUUUCAGCAGUUUGCCGUUGAUACACACAUCAAGAUUGAGAGCUCCAGAUUGGACUUCAUAUGGCAUCAUCAGAAAGAAAUAAGGGCAGAUCUAUACAAAGGCCUCCUGGAUAGCAUUCAAGAAGGAGAACAAAAGGGAGAUAAAGUAGGAAAAUGAACGGUGCUAGCAUCAUCGUUUAUUGGAGGGCCAAGAGAUAAAUUGCGACGAUAUCUAGAUGCUAUGGCUUUAGUAAGCAAAUAUGGAAAGCCAGACAUAUUCCUAACAAUGACCUGCAACCCAAACUGGGAAGAGAUCACCCGAGAACUAGAGUUUGCACAAACACCUCAAGAUCCCCCAGAUCUCGUGGUUAGGGUUUUCGGGGCAAAACUGGAAGAAAUGAAGAAUCAAUUGUUUAAAAAGCACAUUCUUGGAAAGGUAAAGGCAUAUACCUAUGUUGUAGAGUUCCAAAAGAGAGGCCUACCUCAUGCACACUUCUUGCUGAUAAUGACCGGAAAAUACAAGUAUACAUGUCCAGAGCAAUAUGACAGAAUAAUCUAUGCCGAGCUGCCAGACAAGCACGAGUAUCCAGAUCUAUAUAAAAUGGUCAUCAAACAUAUGAUGCAUGGUCCUUGCGGCAUAUUAAACAGAAAUUGCCCUGCACAAAGAAUCGAGC
This 66672-nucleotide long non-coding RNA is filed under the name Setaria italica (foxtail millet). Its description in RNAcentral is "long non-coding RNA (SITA_LNC001878)". The record is from RNAcentral. Lineage: Eukaryota; Viridiplantae; Streptophyta; Magnoliopsida; Poales; Poaceae.